RNAcentral lists this long non-coding RNA (58460 nucleotides) under Vitis vinifera (wine grape). RNAcentral describes it as "long non-coding RNA (VVIN_LNC003036)". Lineage: Eukaryota; Viridiplantae; Streptophyta; Magnoliopsida; Vitales; Vitaceae. The record is from RNAcentral.
GUGGUGGUGGCGGUGGCGGUGGUGGUGAUGGUGGUUGCGGUGGUGAAGACAAUUGUAGUGGUUGUUUUUCUCUUUGUUGUGGAGAUGGUGGAUGUUUUGACUGUUGUUGAGCAGAUGGUUGUGGUGAUGGCGGAUAACCAUCACGUUCUCAGCAAGGGCAGCAACUGCACCGAUUGAAUCCCACCAGAAUGCAUACGUUAUUUAGUUUUAUUUUAGAAUAUCAAGGUACUACCAGUAUAAAAGCGUUAUCCAAAUUUAUUUUUAAAAACUAUUUUUUAUUUUUUAACUUAAAAAACAAAUUUAAGAAAACAUGAUCAAUUUAAACUCAUGUUUUUCUUUUAUUUUUAAAAAUGGUUAAAAACGAUUCAACUAUUUUUCUAAAAAUUAUUCUCUAUUUAACUUUAUUUUAAAAAAUUAUUUCUAAAAAAUAAUAGUUAAAUAAUAUUAUAAAUUUUUAAAUAUAUAAAGUUGUUUUUAAAUCACACGGAUAGACUUUAAUUUUAUUAAAUUAUUAUUACUUAAAAAAAUGUGAAAAAGAAUCUUUAAUGAAUUUUAUUUUGUAGAACUUUCUAAUCAAGCAAGAAACGAUUUUGUUGAAUAAGAAUUUUAAUGGUAACCACAUGAAACAAAAAAAAAAUUGUUUUUAAAAUAUUUUAUAAUUUCUCACGUGAUUUCAAUUUUCUUCAACAAAGAAAAAAAGGUUUUUUAUAAUAAAAAAAUUCAAUUUGAAUUUUCAAAUUUAAUGUUAUGUCAAUGUUUUAAAUUUUUUUUAUUUUUAUGUAGCUGCUUUAAAUUGACGAUUGGAAGUGAAUAAAAAAAAUUAUUUUUCUCUUAUUGUCUAUUUUUUUAUAACUAUUAAGAAUGGGAUUCGCUAAAUAAUUUUCAAAUACCUGAGAAAUAGAAAAUAAAAUAAAAUAUCUCGUCUUAAGUAUCAUUUAUUCAUCACAUGAGCCUAAUUUUGAAUUAGAGGUUCAUUUCGAUUUAUUAUUUUUAUUUGUCUAAUUUUAAUUAUAUUUGAUUUAAUUUUAUAAUAUUUUAUAGUGAAACCAACUAUAAGAAUAUUUUUUUAUAUAAUUUUACUUUUUCUUUCUUUAGAUAUACUUUCUAGAAUAAGAAAUAACAAUAUGUGCGAAAAAAAAGAAAGAAUUUUGAUUAAAAUUUUUCUUUAAUAUAAGAUUAUGUUUAAUCAUGUGAUUUAAAAACAGUUUUUUGUUUUUAAAAAUAAAAAAUUAUUUUAAAAAAAAUUUAAUACCGUUUUACUAUUGUUCUUUAGAAAUAAUUUUUAAAAAUAAAGUGAAAUAGAAAAUGACUUUUAAAGAAUAAUGAGGAGCUUUUGUUAUCUGUUUUUAAAAAUAAUAGGAAAACAUGAGUCUAUUUAAUAAUGUUUUUUGAAAUUUGUUUUUAAAAAUAAUUUUUAAGUUAAAAGAAUAAAAAAUAAUUUUUAAAGGAGGAAACAUUAACAUACCAACAGUAAAAUUUUCACAAGUACGCUUGACAAUCACAUGGUCCAAUUCCAUUAAAAAUUGUAGCGGCUUGGUAAGAUGGAUGGACUUCCUAGUUUUGAAAACUAAUCAAUGUAACAAACCUUCAUCCCCAAGUAUAUAGACGCAGGGGCCUUGGAAUUUUCUUUGAAGCUUAAGAUUAAUAAGAUUUUUUAGGACAAAGAAAAACUAUUCAAACGCUAAGGUUGAGUGAGCCACACGACUCAUCAAAAUUUUGAAAAUUACACCUAGCCUGACCUUAGCCUAUAAAUAUGUCCAAUCUUCUACAACUAUAGCAUAGAUUAGAAAGAAACGAUGGCAAGAGUUUUGAUGGCAGUAGGCGGUGGAGGGGAAGUGGGCAUGAUGGCUUCGAGCUCUGGGGCUCUCUUUUUGCUUUGCAUGGUCGUUAUGUCCCUCUCAAUUCUAUCCAUGGUCAUAUUUGCUUGCGGUGAAUCUUCUAGUACUCCACAUCCCAAGAAAAGACGCCAUGGUGGAGGUGGAGGUGGAGAUGGUGGUGGUUGUGGAGGUGGCGGUGGAGGUGGAGAUGGAGGUGGAGGUGGAGGUUGCUGAAGAAAAAGCAAAAUAGUUUUUACUCAAAAUAUCCUACAAAUGUCAUAGAAUGGCCUUUUUCUUAUGAAAUAAACCUCAAAAUUAUUGUCUUCAAUGUUAGAAUCCAUGUGAGCAAGUCCUAGUAGAGGUCGAUGUAUUUGUUGGUAUUUUCUUUGUAUUGAACAUUAUUUAAUAAUAUAUAUAUGAUUGUCUUUAUCUUCUGUUUCCUUUUUAUAAAUAGCAUGAAUGUAAACAAGAUUUCAUCUUUUACAAAGUCCCUUUGACAACCGCAUGGUCCAAUACCAUUAAAAACUGUGGCAGCUUGAUAAGAUGGAUGGACUUCUUCCUAGUUUUGAAAAUGAAUCAAUUUAACAAACCUUCAUCCCCAGUAUAUAGACAAGAGGAUCAAGACCUGAGAUUUUCUGUUCCUUAUCAUGAAAAGUCAGCAUCAACAGCCAUUGUUUCUUCAUAACUUGCCGACCUCUCAAGCUUGAGAUAAAAAAAUCAAAUUUUCUUUAAAGCUUCAGAUUGAGAUUAGCAAGAUGUCUUGAGGACAAAGGAAACUUGAGUGAGCCACACGGCUUGGAGUUGACAAAAAAAAUCAAAAUUUUAAAUGUCCCAUCUUCUACAACUGUAGUAGAAAUAAUGGCAAGAGGUUUGAUGGUAGAAGCCUAGAAGGCGGUUGAGGAGAAGUGGGUAUGAUGGCUUCAAACUCCCUUACAGGUCUGCAUGGUGGCUAAAGGAUUGAAAUUUCGGUGUAUGCGUAAUUGAAUUUUACGCGUAUAUAUAUAUAUAUAUAUAUAUAUAUAUAUAUAUAUAUAUAUGUAUCGAUCAAAUAAAAUUGAUUUAAAAUUUAUGAAAGUGUUUAAAAAAAUAAUAAAAUAAAAAAUAAUAUAUAUAUUAAAAUUAUUUUAUAAAUAUAAUUACCAUAAAUAUAAUUAAAUAUAAUAUUUAUCAAAUUAUUAUAAAAAAAAAAUUAGCUUUAAUUUCUUUAAUAUAUUUAUAUUCAUUUAUUUUAAAAUUUUAAAAAUAUUUUUAUUAAAAUAUGUUUUAUUAUAUUUUAAUUUUUUAUAAAAUAUUUUAUUUGAGAUUUAAUUUUUAAAAUUUCAUUAUAAAUAUCUCGGGACAAUUUUUCUAUUAACAUUAAUUUAUUUAAAUAAUAAAAAUUAUUAAUAAUUUAUCUUAUCAAAUUAAUUUCACUUUAUAAAAUAUGAUAAUUUUAUUAUUUUUUUUAUAUUGUGGUAAUUUUUUAAAUAAAAUUAUAUUUUUAAUAUUUUAAUAUAAAAAUAUUUAAAAUUAAAUAAAAUUAAAAGGAUAAAUAAAAAAAUUAAGAGUGAAGUGAUAGUAAUUUUUAAAAAUAGAAUUAAUGAGAUAAAUAUGAAAAGUAGUUAAAAAUAAAAAGAUAAUAUAAAAUAAAAUGAUAAUAUAAAUUUAAAAUAAAAUAUAAAUUUAAAAUAAAUAAUUUAAAAAUCAAAGAACUUGGUAAAUAUUAACAAAAAAAACUUGGGUUUCUUGAAAAGUCUCAAAAAUAAUUGCUCAAAAUUGAACAAUUUUUUUGGGAAAAAACCUCCUCCACGUGUGUUUUUCGGCAAAAUUUGAGUUUUUUUUAUAGCGAAAUUUCAAUUUUUACUGAAAUAUCGGCUAUAUUGUCAUAUUUCCCAUUUUUUUGGCAACAAACCUCCGAUAUCUAAUUUCGUCGAUAUUUCAAUGAAAUAUCCCGAAAUUUCAAUCCUUAAUCCCUCUCAAUUCUAUCCAUGGUCAUAUUUGUUUGUCAUAGUCAUAGAGGAGGUGUAGGAGGAGGAGGCAGACAUGAUGGAUCAUGGAGAUGGAGGAGUUGGUUUUGGAGGUGGAGGCAUUGAUCUUGGAGGUGGAGGCGGUGAUUAUGGAGGGGGAGAUUUGGGAGGUCAAGGCAUUAAUAUUGGAGGUGGAGGCAUCGGUUUUGGAGGUGGUGGUGGUGGUUGUGGAGGGGGAGGGGUGGUGGUGGCUUUGGAGGUGGGGUUUUCUAAAGAAAAAGGAAAAUAGUUUUUACUCAUAAUAUCCUAUAAAUGUCAUAGAAUGACAUUUUUAAUAAAAUAAACCUUGAAAUUCUUGUAUCAUAGAGAUGAUAAUCUUGUCAAAAAUAUAUGUAAAAGAAAAAAACUCUCAUAUUCAACUUGAUUCAUUGUUAGUCCAUGUGAGCAAGCCGGUCGAGGUUGAUGUAUUUGUUGAUAUUUUUUUUUAUUGAAGCUUAUAAAUGGUAUAUAUCAUCUCUUAUUUUUUGUUUCCUUUUUAUAAAUAAUAUGGAUAUAAUAGAAGUUUCGCCAUUUUUUUUUCCUAAGUUAAAUGUUUUAUACUAGUAAAAAAAACCGAUAAAUGUUCAAUCGGGCACAAAAUGACAAGAGAACAAAUUUUAAGCAUUCCUAGAAGUGCUCAUAGACCAUUUAAUUUUUCCUAUUCCAAAAUUUUAGUUGGAUUAAUGUUAUGAUCCAAAUUAGAGAUGUGAUCUUUAAUUGGUUGUAUAUUUCACAUUACUUAUAAGAUAAGAUUAUUGAUCAUACUUUUAUUCAAGUUCUUCAAGACAAAAAUGGAGUCCUAGCAUUUUACAAACCAUUACUUUGUGUGUAUUAAUAAGAAGGUUUUGUUGAAGUAUAUAAAUUCAUUUUUGCCUCCAUUAAUGCUUAAUUAGUUGAGAACAUUCAUAAUGUUGAAUGAACACUUCUAAAUAUAUAUGCCAAAGAUCAAGUAUAAGGAGUUGAUUGUAAUUUUAAAAUCCUAGUUGGUUGGGUAUCAAACCACAAAAAAGUGAUUUUAGAUGUAAAGGAAAACAAAGGUGUUGAAGAUAAUAAGACCCCUUAGACUCCCUUUUUCUCUCAUGGAUGCUCUCAGUUGGAAAACAAACACAAUUUAAUUAAUCUAAUACUUCAAUUUAGGAGUUAAACCUUCUUGUGAAAUCCUUAAAGCCCUCACAAUCCAUUUGUUUGCUAAAUUAAUAGCUCAAUAAUACAAGCACAAAGUCAAAAUAGCUCUCACAACUACCCUCAAAAGGACCCUAAACUCCAAUUUUAAAGUAUCAAGACAUGAUAUUCUAAUUAAAAAUAGAGACAUUCAACUUACAAGUUGAAUAAAUCAUUAAUUAUCUAAGAUUUGAUGAUUAUUUCAUGGGCACAAGGGAGGUCUUAAAGACCCUUCUGUCCAGCCUAUGCGCUCCUCAAAAGAUAUGAAAAUUGAAUGAAAAUGAAGACUAAAAAAAAAAAAAGGGCACAAGGAAACCAUUAUUAAAAACUAAGAUUAAAGUUCAAUAUUAUAUUAAACUAAAACUUAAAAAUAAGUGCAUCUAAGUAUAAUCAAUGGAAAGAAGCUUGAGAGAUUACAAAACAAUUAAAAGGAGCAAAAACAAGAUAAAAAUUGAAGUUAUAGCAAGUCCCAAGCUUGGAGGGUUGAAAAAGAGCUCCCACCAAGGGUCCUCCUCCAAAAUCCAUUUUUCAACUACGAAAUCUCUUUAAAUAAUACCAUGUGAGUGCAUUGAAAACAAGAUAGGAGAUCUAAUGGUGGCUUUGAAAAAGUCCAAAAAUAUGAGUCCCACACGUUCUUGGAGUUCUAGAACAAAUUAACGACGGUGCUAGAGAAAAUGGCACACUUGAAAAUUGAGAUUAGCAAGAUGUCUUGACGACAAAGGAAACUUGAGUGAGCCACACGGCUUGGAGUCGACAAAAAAAAUCAAAAUUUUGAAAAUUACACUAAGCCUGGACCUAGCCUAUAAAUAUGUCCCAUCUUCUACAACUGUAGUAGAAAUAAUGGCAAGAGGUUUGAUGGUAGAAGCCUAGAAGGCGGUGGAGGAGAAGUGGGUAUGAUGGCUUCAAACUCCCUUACAGGUUUGCAUGGUGGCUAAAGGUUUGAAAUUUCGGUGUAUGCGUAAUUGAAUUUUACGCGUAUAUAUAUAUAUAUAUAUAUAUAUAUAUAUAUAUAUAUAUAUAUAUAUAUAUAUCGAUCAAAUAAAAUUGAUUUAAAAUUUAUGAAAGUGUUUAAAAAAAUAAAAAAAUAAAAAAUAAUACAUAUAUUAAAAUUAUUUUAUAAAUAUAAUUAACAUAAAUAUAAUUAAAUAUAAUAUUUAUCAAAUUAUUAUAAAUAAAAAAUUAGCCUUAAUUUCUUUAAUAUAUUUAUAUUCAUUUAUUUUAAAAUUUUAAAAAUACUUUUAUUAAAAUAUGUUUUAUUAUAUUUUAAUUUUUUAUAAAAUAUCUUAUUUGAAAUUUAAUUUUUCAAAUUUCAUUAUAAAUAUCUCGUGACAACUUUUCUAUUAACAUUAAUUUAUUUAAAUAAUAAAAAUUAUUAAUAAUUUAUCUUAUCAAAUUAAUUUCACUUUAUAAAAUAUGAUAAUUUUUUUUAUAUUAUAGCAAUUUUUUUAAUAAAAUUAUAUUUUUAAUAUUUUAAAAUAAAAAUAUUUAAAAUUAAAUAAAAUUAAAAGGAUAAAUAAAAAAAAAUAAAAGUGAAGUGAUAAUAAUUUUUUAAAAUAGAAUUAAUGAGAUAAAUAUAAAAAGUAGUUAAAAAUAAAAAGAUAAUAUAAAAUAAAAUGGUAAUAUAAAUUUAAAAUAAAAUAUAAAUUUAAAAAUCAAAGAACUUGGUAAAUAUUAACAAAAAAAACUAGGGUUUUUUUAAAAGUCUAAAAAAUAAUUGCUAAAAAAUGAACAAUUUUUUUGGGAAAAAACUCCUCCAGGUGUGUUUUUCGGCAAAAUUUUAGUUUUUUUUUAACGAAAUUUCAAUUUUUACUGAAAUAUCAGCUAUAUCGUCGUAUUUUCCAUUUUUUGGUGGCAAGCUAAUAAAUAAAUGUCAAAAUGAUAAUCUUAUAAAAAAUAUUUCAAAAAGAAAAAAAAAUCAUAUAUUCAACUUGAUUCAUUGUUAGAGUCUUUGUUAUAAAGUCGAUGAUGAUGUAUAUGAUAUAUUUCCUUUAUAUUGAAGUUUAUUAGCAUAUAUACCAUGUCUUAUUUUCCUACUUCGCUUUUAUAAGUACCAUGAAUGUAAAAAAAGUUUCUUUCUUUUCUUUUCUUUUCUUUUUUUCUCUUUUCUUUUCUUCCAAUAAUAAAGAUCAUUUAGAGACAUCCAUGGAAAUUAGAGAAAAGAAAAUAAGAUAAUGAUUUGAAAGAAGGUACAAAAAUAAUUUAUCAGUUUUAAAUAUUUUUAUUUUUAUUUUCUUCUAAUUUUUAUCUUUAUUUUCUUUUAUCUCAUAUAUUUCCUCAAACUUUUUAAAGUCUAAAUCUAAUAGGACGAAUAGUACUAUAUGUACUUGAUAAUCAACUUCAACCAUGAAGUUACAAAAAGGACCCUAUGUUAUAUUUCUAUGUACCAGGCCAUUACCUGCCAACAUGCGAGGCCAGCACGAUAAACUUAAAAAUUGUGGCAAGUCAAGUCAGCCUAUGCAAGCCAAAUAGAUGGCCCGACAUGGCCCAUAAGCCAAUGGCCCAUGGCCCAUGAGUCAAUGACUUUGUUAAAAUUUUUAAUUUAAUUUUCUUAAGUCAUUUGGUCUUAAGUUUUUUUCAAUAUUAAAUAAAAUUUCUUUUUAUUACUCUAAACAUCUCUAAUAAUUAUACUUUUUAUUUUUUAUAUACCUCUAAUAAUUAUAAUUUUUAUUUUUAAUAUUUAUAUUUAUCGAGUUUAUAAUUGUAAAAUUUAUAGAAAUAUUAGUUUUUUAUUUUUAAAAAUAGUACAAAAAUUAUAUUUGAAUUUAUUUAUUUUUUAAUCAAAAUAAAAAUAAAUUUAAAAUAACUCGUAAUAUAAAAGGAAGUGAAGUAUACAAAAAUAAUUCUUUUAUUCAAUAUUUCAACAAAUUACAUUAAAACAAAAAAAUAAGUAGACAGGGUCGACACGAUGGCACAACAGACUAUUUCCUUAGGCUCAGCACAGUCCGCUCCUUUGGGUUGGCACAACCCAGGCCUCUACAGUAAUUGGGUCGUGCUCGCUAGGCCCGGUCUUUUAGUGUGCCAGGCUACAGGCCAAAAUGGCCGGCCAGAUCCAUUGAACACCUCUAUUUCUAAGCCACUAGUUGUGAUAUGAAUAUGUCAAGAUCACCAAGUCUUAUUCAUUGAAUCUUCUAAUAAGGUUCGAAAUAAUAAGGGCCUCUAUCUUGAGGAUUAGAGAAGACCACUCUGAGUGUAAGCUUGAGUAGAAGCUAACAAUUGUUCAAAAUUGUGAAAACUACAACAACCAUGGCCUCAUUAAAUGUUAAAUUAGCCGAUCGAUGUGACCGAUCUUCUAUGGCUAUAACCAAGGAUUAAAAUUUCAACAAUAUUGACAAAAAAAAAAUGGACCGUCAACAUGAUAUAUGGGAGGAAAGGGUAUUUUGAAUAAGAAAACAAAAAAAAAAUAGUAAUUUUAAAAAAUGUUUCUUAAAAUGUGAUAAUUCAAAAAAUAUUUCAAAAUCUAUCAUACUUUAAAGAAAUCUAUAUAUAUAUAUAUAUAUAUAUAUAUAUAUAUGAAAACAAAUUACAAAGUAAAAUACCUACAAAUUCAAUUAAAAGAUAAUCAUAAUAAUCUUCGAAAUCAAACUUUAUAAUAUCUUAAAGAAAAUUUGAUUAUCAAAUGAUCGAUUCUAUAUUAUAAAUACAUUUCCUAAUUCAAUAAAUAGUUUUUAUUUUUAAAAAUAUUACAAAUAAUUAUAUAAAUAUAAAGAAAGAUUAAAAAUAAAUACUACAUAAAAAAUUGUUUUAAAAAUAUUAAAAAAACAAGUUAAAAUUAUUUCAAGUUCCAAAAAGACAUUCAUUCUACGGAAGAUUAAAGAAAAGUUUUCAAAAACUAGUUGUUAGAAUUGAUUUUUAAAACAGUAAUGAAAUAAAUUUGUUAUAUUUUGCUCACCUGCCUCACAUUUCCAGCUUUGCCGCCAAUCUAAGAAAGCUCACUGCCAGAAAUGGUGCCAUCUUCCUUCAGAACCUGGAGUUCCCAUGCACCACUCGUUUGGUCUAUUUCCCCAACCCACCAUGGGAUCUUCAUCUGGCUUUCACCAUGGUUCCGGGUCAGGCCAACCCUUGGAAGCCAUAUAAAAAAUAAAUAGAGAAAAAAAGUACAAAGAAAAAAAUAAAUAAAUUUAAAAUCAAUAUAUUACUUUUUAAAGUUAUUUCAAAUUCAUUAUAUAUACUUAUUUUUAAAAUUUUUAUGUAAAAAUUAAGUAAUUUAAAAAUAUAUAAAUUUUUAAUUAAUUUUAAUUAUAUUUGAUUUAAUUUUAUAAUAGUUUAUAGUGAAACCAAAUACGAGAAUAUUUUUAUAUAUAAGUUUUCUUUUUCUUUCUUUAGAUGUACUUUUUAGAAAAAUUAAAAUAUUAGUAAUUAUAAAUAUAGCGAUACUUCAAUUUUUUGAAUAUAUCGAAAAUAUAUUAAUAAAUAUUUUGAAAAAAAAUAUUGAUAAGUCUAAAAUGGAUCAAAACUUGUGAAAAUGUAAAAAACAAGGUCAUAGAAAUGUAAUUAGAAGUAUAAUAUAUAUUUUAAAUUUUUUUUUUUUAAGAACUUGAUAUAUGUACGAUACAAAAUAAUAUCUAUGUAUUUUAUAAGUGCAUAUUUAUUAUUAAAUUAUAUCAAAUAUUAUUUUACAAUAAUAUUGUGAUAUUUAAUUAUAAUAUGUCUAAUUUUAAAAUAUAUUUAAUAUUAAAAUUAUCAUCCAUUUAAUUCAAUUAUAUUAUAAAAUAAAUGAUGAUAUAUGUAUAAAAAAAUUUAAUUUUUAUAUUUUUUAUAUUUAAUGAAUAUAUAAAUUUAAAAAAAGUUAAGAAAAUUAUUAUCAUAAUUUUUAUAUUUUUAGUGAUCAAUUAAAUUAAAUUUAAAAAUAAAAUAAUUAGAAUUAAUUUAUUUAUUAAAAUAUUUUAUUUUUAUCAUAGUGAUAGUAUAUAUUUAUUCUAGUGCACAUUAUAUAAUAUAAGGCAAGUUAGCCCAAUACCUACAAGUCAAAAUUUAAAUUUUUUUCAUUUGACUGCCAGCCCACCCCGGUGAAAACACCCUUUUCAAUUUUUAUUUUUUUUUCUAGGCAAGAAUUAAUUUUCUAAAUUAAUUUUUUUAAUUAAAUUCUGGUUUGUAAAUUUUAAAUAAUCCUAUUUAAGGAAAAAAAAAAUGUUGCCUGUUACCAUCCCCGUAGUUUAUAAAUUUUUCGGUCAAAGUAAAAACAAAAAAACAAAAAGUAAAAGUCCAAGAAUUGCGCCGGCCAGCCCCAAAAAAUCAGCCAUUUUUCUUCGAAAAAUCGCCUAGCCAAAAUUUUCUUGGUGAAACACACGCCAUUUUUUUUUUGGGAAUUUCACCCCUCCCACAUUUCGCCAUCCGAUUUUGUUUCUACGACCACCGAAAUGUAAUAUUUUAGCAAAAUUUCACCGAAAUUUUUCAAAAUUUUCAUCGUUGCUUUCUAGAACCAAAAGUGAGGAUAUGUGUGGAAAAAAAAAUGAAGAAGUUUUAUUUUAGGGAGAAUUGUAUGUUGAGAUAACUGUCCAAGGUCUUCUUAACUUAUAAUUGAACUUAAAACUUAAUAAUAGAGUAAAAAUUAAGAUAAAUAAUAUUAUAUUUCAAAAAUCUCUAAGAUACCCUUAAUCGUCAAAUAAAAAACUAAUUAGUCACCCUCACCUCUUUCAUUCUCUCUUUUACUCCCUUUCUCUCUCUUUUUUCACCUCACCCUUCUUUCAUCUAUUUAUUAGAAUGAUUUUCCAAUAAUUUUCUCCAAGAAAUUGAAUAUUAUAGAUAAAUAUUUAAAAAUAAUUAUUGUCAAAUCUAUUUUUGAAGUAAAUAUUUUUUAAACAUCUCAUCCAAUAUUUUUUUUUUCAAACUUACAUAAUAUAUAAUAAAUAUAUUUUAAAUACCAGAGAAAAUAUUUUUCAAAUACAUUGGAUACUUAUAUAAUAUAUAAUAAAUAUUAUUCUUUAUUUCAAACUUAUGUUAUUUGUCAUAUAAAUUAAAUAAUUUUUAGAUACCUCAAAAAAUAUUAUUAUUCUUUGUUUGUUUUAACUUACAAAUUAGAUAUUAUAAAAUAUUAUUCUUUUUUUCAAACUUAUAAAUAUAUAAUCAAUAUUUUUUUAAAUACCUUAGAUUUUUUAUUUUUUAUUUUUGUUUCUUACCUACAAAAUAAUAAACAUGUCCUACAUUAUUUCUCAUAUAUAUUAAACAACUUUUAAACACCUCAUAAAAUAUUAUUACUUUUUUUUUUUCUAACUAGCAAAUUAGACACAUUGUAUUUAUUAUUUCUCAUAUUAUUACAAAAAUAAUGUAAACACUCACACUCUUCAAGAUAUUCAAAAUUUGUUCAUUCCGAAAGUACCUAAUUACCCCCCCCCCACUAGUCCUAAAUAUUUUAAAAUAAAGAUUUAAAUAUUUAAAACCAUUAAAAUAAAUAUUUUCCUAUUAAAACAAUUUUUUAAGGGGGUGUUUGGUACGUCGGAAUAGGGAAUGUAAAUAAUAUUUUGUUUUCUUUCCUAUUUCUUAGUGGAAUGGAAUGAAUUUGAUGAUUCCAUUUCUAACAUUUGGAUGAACUUAGGAAUGAAAGAUUGAAAUGAUUAUUUGUUUCCAUUCCAAUGUUUGAUAAUAAUAGGAAUGGAAAUGAAAAAGAAAUAAAUUUACAAUAAUAUCCUUACAUAUAAUUUAAAAUAUUUUUUUAUUUUUACUUUUAUUUUAAAAAAAAAAAAUUUGAGAGGUUUUUUGUUAUUAAAUAAUAAGACUAAAAAAUAUAUAUAUACUCAAUAAAUAAAAAAUUAACCAUAAAAAAUCGUAUAACCCUAAUGCACAAAUAUUCAAUUAUUAUUUUUAUUAAAAAUUUGAAUAAUUUGUCAUGCUUAAGUAGUUAUAAAAUUAUAUUUUUCAAAAAAAAUUAUUUAUUAUAAUAUUUAAAUUCUCAAAGCUAGCAAAUAAGGUAAACCUGAUUGAAGAUGUAGAAGGGAGUUUUCAGAACCUAGUUGCAGCAAACAAUGACGAAUCCUAGAUCCAACAAUCAAAAUGAACAUCCAAAACCCUAUAAAUUAGAAAUUGAUUUUUUUUUUUUAAAUAUCGUGGAAGGUUUAAUUGAUUCAAUUUGGAAGAAUCACUUGUUGUAGAGAAUUGGAUGAUGAGUGGGUCUCUAGCUUUGCAAAGAAGAUAAGAAGUGGAUGAUGAAUGGAUCUCUACCUUUACAAAGAAGAUAAACAUCGGGUUUGAAGAAUAAGAUAAGAGGGUAAAAUAGUAAUUUAGGUUAUUUUAUAUUAUCAAAUAGGUUUAAUGAAUCAAAAUACCACCUACUUUUAAUGAAUGCAAAUCCGACUCAUAAGUUGGAUUUGAUUUCUGCCGGAAUAAUUUUUUAUUUCAUUUCCGCCUUCUUAACAUUUAUCCAAACAUAGGAAUAAGGGAGAAAAUGAAUGAGAUGUCUAUUCCCACUUCCUAUUCCCGUGUACCAAAUACCCCCUUAGUAAUAAGAUAAAAAUCAUGAAAUAUUCAAAACUAGAAUUACAACAAAUUAAAAAAUUUAAUUUUAAAAUUAAUUCAAUAAUUUAAAUUAAUGAUUUUAAAAAAUAGAAAUGUUACAAAAAUAAUUUUUAGUUAUUUUUAAUUCCAUUUAAAUAUGAUUUUUUUAACCUCUAUUGAUAAUGAUGAAAUUAUGUUUAUAAAGGAAAAUUAGUAAAAAUAUAUAUUUCAUUUAGUUUAUUUCAGUUUACUAAUAAACAAUUUAAACAUGAUUAAUUUUAAUUUUAUUUCCUAUGUUAUAAUUUUGGUAGGAAGAUCUUAAUAGCAUAGUUUGGUAAACAAUAUAUAUAUAUAUAUAUUAAUAAUCGUCUUAAUGAUAAGCUUAUGUUGUUUACAAAUCGUACAAAACCUAUUAGAAACCUUUUAUAUCCUUAUACAGUUAUUAUAUUUUAUCUUAUACAGUUAGUGCAACACUCUUAUACAUUGAUGUAAAUUUUAUACACAUGCAUAAAUAAUGUAUUCACAUAGAUGUGUGAACCAUAUUUCCAAUAGUUUGGUUUAGAAAAGACAGGAAGACUUAAAGAACAAGUUUUUCUCCAAACAUCAUUAGUGAGAUAAGUAUUCAAAUUAUCAUGUACGAGUUAAAUAAAGUGUAUAAGAUAGGUAUGUGAUAAACGAAUAUGUAACAUGAGAGUAUAUAGUUCUUGGGUAAUAAGAAAAAUAAAACGAGAGGUUUAUAAUCGAUUAAAAUUCUAUAUAAAGGGUAGUCUUGUACACCACUUGUACACUUAGUAUAUUUCUCUUGUAUAGUUAGUGUAAUACACUUGUACAAUGACACACAUUUCAUAUCACUCCUAAGUUAUGUAUCCGUAUAGGUGUGUAAACCAUGUUUCCAAUUGUUUGGUUGAGAACCAAGAAAGAACAUUACUAAAACUACAAAAAUAAAAUAUGGAGUUACAAAAUAUGGAUGAUGAAAUUUAAAAAUAAGAGAUGAAAUAAUUAUUAUGUGAGAGAAUUUAGGUGGGGAAAUUGUACAAUUUUUGGGUAACAAGAAAAAAGAUGGAGAUUUUUUCAGAAUCAGUUCAAAUCCUUAACAAAUGACAACCUUGUAUACUUAAUAUAUUUUCCUUGUACAGUUAAUGUAAUACCUUUAUAAAGUGAUGCAAAUUUUAUAUCCAUCAUAAGUCAUGUGUCUACAUAGGUGUGUUAACCAUGUUUCCAAUGGUUUAAUUGAGAACCAAGAAAGAACAUUGCUAAACUACAAAAACAAAAUAUAGAUGAUGAAAUUUAAACAUAUGAGUUAAAACAAUUAUUGGGUGCAUGAGAGAAUUUGAGUGGGGAAAUUGUGUAAUCCUUGGGUAACAAGAAAAAAGAGUGAGAGUUUUUCAAAAUCACUUCAAAUCCUUAACAAAUGGCAUUAUUGUACACGCUUAUAUAGUUAGUACAUCCGUCUUAUAUGUAACACCCUUGUAUAGUGGUGCAAAUUUCAUCCAUAUGCAUAAAUUAUGUGUCCACAUAGGAUGAGUAACCAUUUUUUCAAUGAUUUGAUUAAGAAAAUGAUAAAAGACGUAAAAACAAAAAUUUUCGCCACACAUCAUUAGUAAGGUAAAUAUUUGAAUUAUCAUAUGUAAAUUAUAUAAAGUGUACAAAAUGAAUGUGUGAUUGAGGAAUGUAUGGCAUGAGAGUGUGUAAUCUUUAAAUGACAAGGAAAAAAAAAGUUGUCCAAAAUUGAUUGAAAUAUUUCACAAAUGGUAGUCUUGUACACCCCUUAUACAGUUAAUGUAACACCCUUGUAUAAUAAUGCAAAUCUCAUCCACAUGCAUAUUUUAUUUGUUUCUUCAUUUAUAUUGUUUGUAUUUCAUGGAAAACCACUUGAAGUAAAUAUGAUGAAAAUUAAUUUGAUAUGCGUGCAAGCCUAUAAACAAUAUUACAAAUAGUUUAAUAUAUAUAUAUAUAUAUAUAUAUAUAUAUAUAUAUAUAUAUAUAUAUAUAUAUAUAAAAUAAUAAAUAAUAAAUAAAUAACAAGAAAAAUGAAGAUGAAAUUAGAUAAUGUAUUAUUUAUAAUUUUUUAUUCAAUUUUAAACUUUUUUAGAAAACAAAUAUUUUUAUUAUUGAAUGAGUUUUAUAAUAAAAUUUUAUUUUAUUUUUAAAACACUUCUUUUGAAUUAAAUCCUUUUAUUAUUAAAUCCUUGAUACAAUAAAAUUAAAAUUAUAAAAUAUCUAUUUUAAUUUAUUUAUAAAAUUCACAUUUAAUAAAUUUAUUUUAAUAAUUUUAUAACUUUAUUAUUUCAUAUUUAUCCAUUUUAUAAAAUAAAUAUUUUUGUUAUUAAAUAAUUUUAUUAUGAAAUUUAUCUUUUUAAAAUUAAAUUUUUUAUCCUUAGUUCUUUCAUGUAAUAAAUAAAUAUUUUAAAUAAAAAAAAUCUAUUUUAAUUUAUUUAUGAGAAUUACACUGAAUCAAAAUGCAUUUUUAAUUUAUUUAUUUUGAAAUUAAUUAUUUUAUUUUUAUAUCUAAUAUAAUUAAAUUAGAAUUCAAAAUAAACUCAACUUCCUUAGUUCAAAAGAAUUAACUUUUUAUUAAAUGAUUGAUGAAAAAACUAAAAAUUAUUACUUUAUAUUUUUAAAUAAUAUUGAUAUAAAAUAAAAAUGAAGAUGAAAUUAAAGGAUACAUUAUUUUAAUUUAUUAUAAAUUAUAUAUUAUAAUAGUAUAAAAUAUCAUUACAUAAUAUCCCACUACUAAAUUGUUAUCUUCCAAAAUUCAAUAUAAAUACAAUUUUAUUUAGUUGUUGAUAAAAUAAAAUAAAAUAAAAUAAGCCUCAAACAAGAAAGUAACAGCAAGUUCUUUUUUUUGUACACUCAACAUUAAAGGUCACAAUUAAAUAUAUAAAUUUAAGGGUCAAAAAUCUAUGUUUGAUACACCACGUGGGACCAUAAAAUUCUCCUCAUGACAACUCUCCACUUUAUGUGUGAAGUGACCAAACAACUCUAAAGGGUAUUUUGGCCUCUUUAUAGUUUAUAUCCUUCCUAUGAGUUAUACGACUUAGAAGGACGAUCAGCCCAUUAUCACUAAGUCAACUGCCAUUGUUUCUUCAUCAACUUGCCGACCUCUCAAACUUGAGAUUGAAAAAUCAGCUCACAGAUUAGCAAGAUUUCUUAAGAGGACAAAGAAAACCUAUUCAAACCAUAAGCUUGAGUGAGCCACACGGCUUUGGAGUUGAGAAAAAUGAUCAAAAUUUUGAAAAUUACACCAAGCCUGGACCUAGCCUAAAAAUAUGUCCCAUCAUCUACAAUUGUAGUAUAGAUUAGAAAGAAAUGAUGGCAAGAGGUUUGAUGGUAGAAGGUGGUGGAAGGUGGUGGAAGGGAAGUGGCAUGGUGGGUUCAAACUCUGGGGCUCUCUUUUUGCUUUGCAUGGUCGUUAUGCCCCUCUCAAUUCUAUCCAUGGUCAUAUUUGCCUGCGGUCUUCGUGGAGGAGGUGGAGGAAGCGGGCAUGGCCGUGGUCAUAGAGAUGACGGUGUUGAUUUUCGAGGUGGAGGCGUUGGAGGUGAAGGUGUGAUUGUGGAGGUGGAGAUAGGGAUGGCAACGGGGCGGGUUUUUUCGGGUAUCUGCCCCGCCCCGUCCCUAAUGGGACGGGGUUUAAAUUUAAUAAACGGGUUUGGGACGGAUAUGAGAUUUUUUUUUUAACCCGGGGCAGGCUCGGGUAUUGCCUUAUCCCGUCCCGCCCCGUUUACAUAUAAAAUUAAUUUUAAAAUUAAAUUUAAUUUUAAAUUUAAAAUUAAUUUAAUUUUAAAUUUAAAAUUAAUUUAAUUUUAAAUUUUAUUUUAUUAUUUUUAAUAUAUAGAUGAUAAUAAAAAAUUUAAUAAAAUAAGUUAUAAAAAAUAUAAUAAUUUUAUUAUUUAUAAAAUAUAUUUAUUUUAAUGUAAUUAAAAAAUUUUAAAGUAAUUUUUUAAAAAAAUUAAAAAAAAAAAAAAACUAAACGGGGCGGGUAUGGAAAAUUCUCAUACCCGCCCUGCCCCGUUUAAUUUUUUAAACGGGACAGGGAUGAGAAUUGUUUUUAAUAAACGGGGUAGGGUUGGGAUGGAGGUGACCCGUCCCAAACCCGCCCCGUUGCCAUUCUUAGGUGGAGAUUUGGGAGGUCAAGGCAUUGAUGUUGGAGGUGAAGGCGGUGGUCAUGGAGAGGGAGGUUUUGGAGGUGGUGGCGGUGGUUGUGGAGGGGGAGGUGGUGGUGGUGGCAAUGGUGGAGGUGGGGUUUUCUAAAGAAAAAGGAAAAUAGUUUUUACUCGUACCAUCCUAUAAAUAUGAAUGACCUUUUCUAUAAAAUAAACCUUGAAAUUCUUUUGUCAUAGAGCUGAUAAUCUUGUCGAAAAUAUAUGUAAAAGAAAAGAAAGUUCCCAUAUUCAACUUGAUUCAUUGUUAAUGGUCGCCCGAUUGAGGUUGAUGAAUUUGUCAAUAUUUUCUUUGUAUUGAAACUUAUAAAUAGUAUAUAUGAUCUUCAAUUUUAUCCUUUUUUUCCCUAAGUUAAAUGUUUUAUGAUCCAAAUUGGAGAUGUGAUCAUGAAUUGGUUAUAUACUUAUAUAUAUCAUAUUACUUAUAAGAUAAGACUAUAUUAUUAUGUACUCAUAAAAAUCAUAAGCUUCGUUAUUUGAAAGAAAGGUCGAACCAUUCAUAAUAGGUUCAAAGGAAAUGAAGCUCAAUAUCGAGACAACUCUUCCACAUAUUCAUUUUCAGUCUCAUUAUAAAAUUACUUGUAAAAAAAUUUAAAUUUCAAAACAGAAUUUGGAAAAAAAAAGGUCAAUCAUAAGGACAACUAUAACAUAGGCAACCGUUAGCACCAAACUUUCAUAACUAGCCAUUUAUUAUACUUUUGGAUGAUUAGACCAUUUAUGAUCAGUUAGGAUCAAGGAUGAAAAUAUCGGUAAUCACGGAUAUAUCGGUAUUUCGAUUUUACGGAUAUAUCGGAUAUAUCGGAGAUAUAUUGGAUAUAUCGGAGAUAUAUCGGUGGACAUUCUGGAAAAAAAAAAUCGGUAAGCUUAAAAUUGUUAAAAACUCAUGGAAAUGUAAGGAAAAUCUCAUAAUAAUAUAAUUAGAAGUAUAAUGGACAUUUUAAAGUUGUUUUAUUGAAAAUUUUGAUAUAUAUAUGAUAUAAUUUGCAAUAUUAGAUGUAAUUAUAUCAUGUCAAUUUAUAAGAAAUGUUAAUUUUGUAAUUGUUCUCAUUAUAAAGUCACAUAAAAUAUUUCAUUUCAUUAAAUAUCAAUAAUUUGUACACAUUAAAUUCAUUAAAUAAACAUAUUUCAUAUUCAAAAUAUACUAGUUCAUGUUAAUUAAAUUAAUUAAAUAAUUUAGCAUGUUAAUUAAAUUAAUUAAAUAAUUUAACUAAGUUAACUAGUUUAAUUUAAUUCUAAAUGUGAAAAUAAAUCACAAAUAAUCAUUUAAAAUAAACAUAUCAAUUUAUAAUUAAAUAAUCAAAUUAACCUAAGUUAAUUCAAUAAAAAUAUAAAAAUUAAUUACAAUUGAAUGUAAAAAUAGCAUUAAAUAAUCCAUAUUGCAAACAUACUAAUUAAUUGAAAAUACAUGAAUUAAUUACAAUUGCAAACAAAAUUAAUUACAAUUUAAAACAAAUAUACCUUAAAAUGAUUAAAUAAUUGAGCAACCUUAAUAAAAAUUGGAGUAAUGAGAGAGCAAAUAAAGAAUGAAAGCAAAAAUAGAUGAAAUUUGGGUUAUUUAUAAAAUAAAUUUGGGCCAAAAUAGCCGUUGGAACAUUAAUUUACCGUUGAAAAUCAAUUUUGGCCGUUGGAUAAAAAAUUGGGAGCAAUCGGGCCGUUGGAUCGCCAUAUUACCAUUGGAAUCACAUCUAGGCCGUCGAAUCAACACGGGUGUGAUAUGGGCCGUCAGAUCACGUUGCAUGAAGAAGGGGAAAUAUCACCAAAAAAUCAGCGAUAUAUCUCUGAUAUAUCACCGAUAUAUCGCCGAUAUAUCACCGAUAUUUUGCCACCAGAGGCGAUUUUUUCAAAAUAUCUUCGAUAUAUCUCUCCGAACCGAUAUAUCGCCGAUAUUUUGGCUAUAUUUACGAAAAUAUCUCCCCUCCGAUUUUUCUUCACGAAAUAUCGUGUCGACCCCUUCCGAUACACGAUAUAUCGGCGAUAUAUCGCCGAUAUAUCCCAAAAUUUUCCUCCUUGGUUAGGAUCAUAGAAAAUAUCAAAGAAUGGAAACGAAAAUAAAAAAAAUCAAAUUCACUUAUUUAGUUUAUCCGAAAAUAGAGAAAGACUUAAAUAGAAUAAACAAUUGUUUUAAAAUGUAUAUAUCUUAUUUUACUUUGCCUUUUUUUUUUAUUAUUAUUUUCUUUUUAUUUAUCAUACAUUUAAUCAAGUUCUUCAAGACAAAAAUGGAGUCCUAACAUUUCACAAACCAUUGCUUUGAGUGUAUUAAUAAGAAGGUUUUGUUGAAGUAUAUAAAUUCAUUUUUGGCUCCAUUAAUCCUUAAUCAGUCAAGAGCAUUCAAAAUGUUGAAUGAACACUCCCGAGUAUGUAUGCUAGAGACCAAGUAUAACAAGUUGAUUGUAAUUUUAAAAUCCUAGCAAAUUGGGUGUCAAACCAUUGGAAGGUGAUUUUAAAUGUAUAGGGAAAAUUGGAUAGAUUGGAAGAUAAUUAUAAUGUUUAGUCUGACGCUUUCUCCCAAUUGGGUACUCCCAUGUUGGCUUAAGUGGUGUACCAUGUGAAUGCAUUACAAACAAGAUAGGAGAUCCAAUGGUGGCUUGGAAAAAGUCCAAAAAUAUGGGUUCCACACAAUUAAUGAUUGUGCUAGAGCAAAUGGCACCAAUUUAUAAAGUAUUUCUUGAUGCCAACAAACCCUAAUAUCUAUUUUUAUCCUUAAUUUUUUAUACCAAAAAAUGAGGGUUUUUUCUUAUCUUUAAUUUUAUUGUUUACAAAGGUUUUAAGUCAUUUCACAAUAAGACAAGCCUGAAAUACACCCAAAAGCAAAUUAAUUUUCAUUAAAAUUUCUCUUACCUAUGUAAAGAAAAACCUUAUCAUAUAAAUAUUAUAAAAUAAUCUUUUAAAUAAAAUUUUGAAAUCUUAUGUUAGGGAGAUAAUCACAUAAAACACAUAAGUUCAAAAGGAACAAAUUACAUUCAAUUCUUUUGCUACUAGUUAGAAUCCAUGUGACCAAGCUUAGUAUGGAAGUUUAUAAUAGCAUUUGUUAAUGCCUUUCUUACAUUCUUUCAGGCUCUGUUUUUUCUGUUGGGAUUAAGCCUUAUGGGUCCACCAUUGUCGGCGCUUAGCACUUUCGAAGGGAAGGCUAGUAGCUCAGAUGGUACCAGGAUUGACAUUUAAGUGGACCUUAAGGUUUGGUCCUAAGUUCAAUUCUUGGGGAUGUCUCCUUUAUUGGAACAAAUAAACAAUUGGUGUGAUUGAGGGGCCACGGUCCUGGGCCUCUGGCCUUCCCUUCGGAAGUGUUAAGCGCCAACAUGACUAUUUUUUUUAUAUUUGAUGUCAGGGAAAAAAGUAAUGAAAUAAAUAACAAGGAAAAUAGUGAAUAAAAUGUUAUAAAAAGAAAAAGAAAAAUCCUCUCCAUUUUUCUUAGAUUAAAAAAGUGUAUUUUUUAACAAUUUAAUUUUUUUCCUUUCACUUUUUCAUAGACAAUCAAACACAAGAAAGGCCAACAAAAUUUCAAUGUAAACCAAUUAAUUUAAGAAUUCUAUGAUUUUAACAUAUAAGGUAAUCGAAAUUUUAAUAUGGUUGGAUCAACUAUACCACAAAGAGUAUUAUGAAGGGGCUAAAGUCAUAAACAACUAUUGGGUCCCAAAACUUCUCAUGUUUAUCUUCUCUUUACAUCAAUACCAUAAACUUUGUCACAUCUCGAUCCAUCAUAUACAAUCUUUCAAGCUUAUCUUUUAUCUCAUUCUCAUAAAUUUUUUCCCUCAUGACCAAAAUUAAUAUUUAUAAAAAUAUAUCUAUUAACUUUUCUUAUUUCAUAAAGAAACUUAAUACUACAAUAACAUAUGAAUAUAGAAAAUAUUCUAUAUGAUGUUCUUCACAAAAAAAGGAAUUUACAUUAAUUAAGAGUAUGAGAUACUUUCCUACUUUUUUUUUCUCUCAAAAUUUGCAUAACCAAAUAUAUCCUUAAUAAAUAACAUGCAUUUACCAUUUUAAGAAGUUUCCUUUGUUUUUAGUAAAUUAUACUUCAAAAAAAAAAAUAGGCUUAUAAAGGCUCAAUCCAAGCAAAUAAGAGUCUGUAGACCCCCAUUUGGGGCUUGUUCUCAUUUUAUAUACAAUAUAUAUUUCUUUGCCGCUCUCUUGGAGCCAUGUGGCGAGUCACGGUUGAGGAAGCCAGCUGCAUGGGGGGGGGGGGGGGGGGGGGGGGGGGGGGGGCCCCCCCCUUGGGCCCCCCCGGAGGGGGGGGGGGGCGCCCCCCCCCCCCCCCCCCUGAAUGGGGGUGGGGGGAGAAAUUUUUUGGGGGGGGCACUAAAAAAACUUUUUUUUUUUUGGGAAAAAAAAAAAAAAAGGUUUUUUGGGAAAUUUUCAAAAAAAAAAAAAUUUCUCGGCGUCCCCACCCGACACAAAUGGGAAACUUUUUUUUUUUGGGGUUUUUUUCUUUGGGGAGAGCCCCCCCCUGGGGGGAAGAGAUUUUUUNNNNNNNNNNNNNNNNNNNNNNNNNNNNNNNNNNNNNNNNNNNNNNNNNNNNNNNNNNNNNNNNNNNNNNNNNNNNNNNNNNNNNNNNNNNNNNNNNNNNAAGAGCAAGAAAGGGAUCGCUCAGGUUUGAUCAUCUCGCAGCAUAAGUUCUCAUGUUGUCUUGUUUUACUUCAUUUUUUAGUCAUACCAUGCUUCUUUCUGACAUUUGGGAUGUUUGUUUCAGUUAUCUAACAUGUUAAACCUGUUUUUUUUCAUUUUUUUUGCUUGCCCAAUCUCUGUUUCUUCCCGUAUGAGUUAUAUGAUAAUCGUGCUACCUGUUUGUAUGUUGAGAUCAUUCGAGCUUCCCCACCAGUUUUCUUAAAAACUCCUUGAUUUCCAUAAAAAUGGAGUUGGGCAUACUGGUAUUCUCUUCUCUUACACUCACCAUGUUUUUCUUCUAUUUUUUUUCUUGUUUCUGGCUCGCAAUGGGAGAUGUAUAUUUUUCUUUAUGGAGAGGAUUAUGUAAUAUUUUGAGGUGUUGUUGAGUUUGGCACCGGAUGGCUUGGUUUAUUCCCACUUAGAUCACUUUCUAGGUUCUUCGAGAUAUGGAUAUUGUUGACAGAAAAUUUCGGCUCCUAGGUAUUUGAAGUUGAGUGAAGUUCUCUCGGUUGAUGAAGGGCAUUUUGAUGCUUAAAAAUGGGUUUCUCUUCAUUGGGUUAUGUUCACUAAACCGAGGAAGGUUGAUGAGAUGUUUCCAGAUGGCGCUCCACUAUUACCCUUUGGCCAUCAGAUCAUCCUACCGAAUUCGAAAUCAGAGGGAAUACAUGGUGCAUUGAUUGCUCAUUGGGUUUUGGGUGUGAUAUUCAGUUUCUAUGUAGACCCAUCCACAAAUCAAGCUGUAAGGGAUCAUCAUGCUAUAAUACACUAUCAGUCUCCACCAUUGCCUUCCAGUUUCCACUUGAGAAUUAUUUACAGGAUUAUAUGGCAGCAAUGGCUCAGUGCAGAGGUCCACCAUGCCUUCAUCUCUACUGUCAAACCCAUUCCAUCUCACCACCACCUUUCAGCCCUCACCAAUCCAUUUUUCUCCAUCAUCUAUUUCAUUUGUGAUACCUUCAUCUUUCAUACUCCAUCACUCAUUCCGCCCAUUUCUCACCCUGCACCAUGCGUGCCUUCACUUUUCACUACCCACCUAACUCACCCAUAUUCUCAUCUUUCCAAACUUUCUACAUCCAGCACCACUCGCAUCUUUCAUCCUUCAUUCUCGUCCAUGCAAAACCCAUUCUCAUCCAUGAAAACCCAUUUCAAUUCCCAUGCAAACUCAUUUCUCUCUCUAAACUCUCAUCCAUGCAAAUCCAUUCUCGUUCAUGAAAGCCCAUUCCCAUUCCCAUGCACAUACCCCUCACACCCACCGAACCACAUAUACCCACUUCUCUCUCUAACCCUCCACCCUUCAUACCCGUUUUCACACCACCCUUUCUAGUCCGAUCCCAUGUCCAUGGACACUUCCAACUCAUUCCCUUCACCUUGGCAUGGCCAUGCAUGGCCAUGUUAACCUCCAUACCCGCUCCCUACCCAUGCAUAUUUUCCAUACCCAUAAGGCCCGUUUUGCUUCAUCACUCGUUCUAUUAAUCCCAUGCCCAUAUCUUCAUACAUUAUCUAUACCCACCUAUCAUCCUCAUCAUGCAAAUACCCAAGCUCACCACCCCACCCAUCCUAACCAUCCAUGCAUAUCGUUUCUUUAAAUAUCCACAUACCCAUCACCACCAUUUCUCUCUCUAAACCUUCACAUACCCAUUACCACAUUUUCUCUCUCUACACCACACCAUGCAUCCAUUCCACUCUCCAUGCUCCCUCAUGCAUGCCCAUUACUCACAUACCCGCAAAACCUGUGUUUCUCCCACCUUUGCAUGGCCAUGCAUGGCCACCUUAUGCCCAUUCCGUGAUCGUACCUGUUUCAUGCCCACAUCAUCUCACUACCUUCCCAUACGUAAAUCUCAUGCUCCCCCAUGCAUAUCAUUUUUUUUCCUUUUAACACCCCAUGCCCUUCAUGUUUAUCUAUCCUACCCGACAUGAAUAGCCAUUCCUUCAUAAUACCCAUCUAAAUACUCACUCUCCAUACUCCUCACACAUAUCACCACCCUCCAAUACCCAACUCACUCAUUUUUUUCACCACAUUUUCUCUCUCUACACCACAAAUUCAUUUUUUUUAACAUCCGUGAGACCCAUUUCUCCCAUCUCCCUUUUCCAUUUCAUCACUGCCAUCAUCAAUGUGUAGUCUUUGCUCCUCAUCGUCAGCUUGCCACUCCAGGACCUUCAACUUUAAAAUUUUUAAAAAUUGGGUAAAACCUUUCUUUGAUCUUCAAGGUGGAUAUUUUGAGUAAUGGGUUUUGUUGGUGGGCUCCCAAGGCAUUGAGUUGUGGGCCUAAGUUGGUUUAUGUGGGCCUUAAGCCCCAUUCUUUGAGCUUAGGCCUGAUUAGUUUAUAUUGGGCUUUCUAUGAUUGGACUUCACUACAGGCUACUUGGCAUGAUUUUUUUUUUUUUUAUUAAAUUGCUUUAAGCCUUUGUCUGUUUGGUGUAAGCCCUAAUGGGCCCAGCAUUUGGCCCUCUCAAGUCUUCAUUUUUUUUUAAUGAUACAAAUGUAAUUUUUUUUAAAAAAUUCCAUCCUCAAGUAACCUUUCAAAAUUCACUUUCUAUUCAUAUAUUUCAAAUUUCAAAUCCUUUUCCGAAAUUCCAAUUUUCAAAGUUUAGUUUACAAAACUUUAAUUCUCGAAAUUCAAUUUUCCAAAACUCCAUUUUUAAAUUUAAUUAUACAAAAUACCAUUUUCAAAAUAAUUUCCUAAAAUUUGAUUUUAAAUUUAGUUUAUAAAACUUUGAUUCCCAAAAAUUCUAUUUACUUAAACUUCGUUUUUUUUAUAAAAAAAAAAAAUCAAUUUUCCAAGUUUCCAUUCUCGAAAUAAUUUUCUAAGGUUCUAAUUUUAGGUCUAAUUCUCCAAGAUUCAAAUUUUUAAAUUUAAUUCUCCAACAAAUUUCCACAAUUCCGAAUUUAAUCUUUUUUUAAAAUGUCACUUUCAAAUAAAUUUUCGCAACUCCAUUUCUUUUCAAAUCAAAUCUUCAAAAAUUUCAUUCUCAAAUAAAUCUUCAAGAUGCCAUUUUCUUAGACUUAAUCCUCAAAUUUUCACUUUCAAAUAAUUUUUCAAAUUUCUGAUUUCCGAAUUUAAUUUCCAAUUCCCACAAUUCCAAUUUUUCACACUUAUUUAUUUAAUUAUUAUCAUUUUCGUUAUUAUUAUCAUUAUUCCAUUUAUUUAUUUAUUUAUUUCCUUUAAAAAUUUCAAUCAUUAAAGUUCAAUUUUUUAAAAUUCCGUUUUCCAAUUUUAAUUUUCAAUCUAAAAAAUUUCACUAUUCACGUUCAUUCGUUUAAGUAUUUUUUUGUUAUUAUUAUUAUUUUUCCAUUUAUUUAUUUAUUUUAAAAUUUCCAAUCUUUAAACAAUUUAAAAAAAAAAAUUCGUCUUUCAAAUUUAAUUUUCAAUCUCAAAAAUUCCACUAUUCACGUUCAUUCAUUUAAAUAUUACUUUCGUUAUUAUUAUUAUUAUUAUUAUUAUUAUUAUUAUUAUUAUUAUUAUUAUUAUUAUUAUUAUUAUUAUUCCAUUUAUUUAUUUAUUUAUUUCUUUUAAAAAUUUCAAUCAUUAAAGUUCAAUUUUUCAAAAAUUUAAUUCCCAAUCUCAAAAAUUUCACUAUUCACAUUUAGUUGUUUAAUGAUUAUUUUCGUUAUUAUUAUUAUCUCAUUCAUUUAUUUAUUCACUUAUUCAUAUAUUAAAAAUCUCAACUCUAAAUAAUUUCUCAAAUUUUCAUUAUCUAAAUUCAAUCUUCAAUCUCUAAAAUUCUAUUUUUCGCAAUUAUUUAUCCAAUCAUUAUUAUUUUCGUUAUUCUAUUCAUUUAUUUAUUCACUUGUUCAUUUAUUUAAAAUUUCAUCCCUAAAUAAUUAUUUAAAUUUCCAAUCCCUAAGUUCAAUUUCCAAUUUCUAAAAUCCUCUCCAAUCAUUACUAUUUCGUCAUUAUUAUUAUUCCAUUCAUUUAUUUAUUCACUUAUUCAUUUAUUUAAAAUUUCGUCUUUAAAUAAUUCUUUAAAAUUCCGAUUUCCAAAUUUAAUUCUCUGAAAUUCCAAUUUUCCAAUUUCCGAACUUAAUUUUUAGUUUCCAAUAUUUCAAUUCUCGCAUUUAUUCCGUUACUUAUUUAUUAUUAUCAUUAUUAUUAUCAUUUUAUUCAUUUAUUUCUUAAAAUUUUGUCUUCGAAUGAUUUUCAAGAUUUCCAAUUUUUAUAACUCAAUUUCAUAGUUUCUACUUCUCAAAUAAUUUUCAAUUUUGAUUUUUUUCAAAAUUUAAUUUCCAAAGUCCCAAUUUUCGUAAUUUAAUUUUUUAAAAUCCCAAACUCUCAAAUAAUUUUCAAAAUUCCAAUUUCUUUCAAUUUAAUUUCUAAAAUUCUCAUUCUUACAUUUAAUUUCUAAAAAUCCAAUUUUCAAAUAAUCUCUAAAACUCCAAUUUUCAAAUAAUCUCUAAGACUCCAAUUUUUAAAAAAAUUUUAAAACUCCAGUUUUCCCUCGAACAGUUUUAAUUUUUGUUUGGUGAUGCAUGUGAUAUGUUUCAUGCUCUUUAUUGUACACUGACCCCAUUUUUAUGAUAGUGCAUUGCUCAUUCGUGGCCCAGGUGUGCAUCCACUCCCAUUCUGGUCAUUCUCAAUACAUGUUUUGAUUCCCAUAUGUGCAUGAUCGAUUUGAGUAUCUAUUGAUUUUGUUAUUGAUUGUCAUGUCAGCUUUAUUUUAUUAAUAAAGACCCGACUUUAGGGACUUAGAGGGGUGUUAUAGUCUUUACCGUACCUUCCCGAUAAAUAACAUGACCCCCAAACCCGAUCCUGUUUUUCACAGACCACCUUUUCCAAAAUAGAGAGUCACACUUAAGGUUUUUUUUCUUAUUUUGUUUACCCUUUUAAAAAUAAAACAAAAAUAAGUGGCGACUCCAAGUCAUUUUUUUAAUAAAUAAAAUCAUUUUCAAAUAAAAAUCGAGCUCACCAUUAAGUGGAAAACGCAUGAGCCAAAAUGCGGGGUCCAUAGAGUCAUAGAAGCAUAAUUUUGAGCUUUCCUAACAAUUCUCAUGGAUGUAUUAAGGUUGCUUGACUUUGAAAUCUCAGUUGCAUUUUUAAACAAUUCUUCAAAGUUCCGAUUUUCAAAUUUAAUUUCCAAUUUCCGAAAUUCCAAUUUUCUCAUUUAUUCGUUUAAUCAUUAUUAUUUUCGUUAUUAUUUAUUUAUUUAUUUUUAAAAUUCCAUCUUCAAAUAAUUCUUCAGAGUUCUGAAUUACAAAUUUAAUUUCCAAUUUCCAAAAUUCCAAUUUUUGCAUUUAUUCGUUUAAUCAUUAUUAUUUUCGUUGUUAUUAUUAUUAUUAUUAUUAUUAUUAUUAUUAUUAUUUAUUUUUAAAAUUCAAUCUUUAAAUAAUUCUUCGAAAUUCUGAUUUCCAAAUUUAAUUUCCAAUUUUUGUAUUUAUUCGUUUAAUCAUUAUUACUUUCAUUAUUAUUAUUAUUAUUUUUAUUUAAUUUUUUUUAAAUUCCGUUUUUAAAUAAUUCUUCAAAUUUCUGAUUUCCAAAAUUCCAAUUUUCACAUUUAUUCGUUUAAUCAUUAUUAUUUUCAUUAUUAUUAUUAUUUUAUUUAUUUAUUUAUUUUUAAAAUUCCAUCUUUAAAUAAUUCUUCAAAAUUCCGAUUUCUAAAUUUAAUUUUCAAAAUUCCAAUUUUCGCAUUUAUUCGUUUAAUCAUUAUUAUUUUUGUUAUUAUUUUAUUUAUUUAUUUAUUUAUUUAUUUUUAAAAUUUCAUCUUUAAAUAAUUCUUCAAAGUUCCAAUUUCCAAAUUUAAUUUCCAAUUUCCGAAAUUCCAAUUUUCGCAUUUAUUCGUUUAAUCAUUAUUAUUUUCAUUAUUAUUAUUAUUUUAUUUAUUUAUUUAUUUAUUUUUAAAAUUUCAUCUUUAAAUAAUUCUUCAAAAUUCUGAUUUCCAAAUUUAAUUUCCAAUUUCCGAAAUUCCAAUUUUCGCAUUUAUUCGUUUAAUCAUUAUUAUUUUCAUUAUUAUUAUUAUUAUUUUAUUUAUUUAUUUAUUUAUUUUUAAAAUUUCAUCUUUAAAUAAUUCUUCAAAAUUCUGUUUUCCAAAUUUAAUUUCCAAUUUCCAAAAUUCCAAUUUUCACAUUUAUUCGUUUAAUCAUUAUUAUUUUUGUUAUUAUUAUUAUUUUAUUUAUUUUAAAAUUUCAUCUUUAAAUAAUUCUUCAAAAUUCCAAUUUCCAAAUUUAAUUUCCAAUUUCCAAAAUUCCAAAUUUCACAUAUAUUUAUUUAAUCACUUUCAUCUUCAAAUAAUUCUUGGAAAUUCCAAUUCAUAAAUUUAAUUUUCAAAACUCUAAUUUUCAAAUAAUUUUCAAGACUUCAAUUUUCAAAUAAACUUUCAACUCUAUGUUUUCUUUCAAAUAAUUUUUAAUUUCACUCCAGUUCUCAAAUAUUUUUAAUUCUACCAUUUUUCAUCAUUCAUUAGGGUUCUAAGUUACUAGGAAUCCUGUUUUUAAAUAAACAUGGUACCUUUCCCUUCAAGUAAGCACUUUCAUAAUUUUUUUUUAAUUUUCAAAUAUUUAUUUUGUGUCUCUUGAUUUUAGAUAAAUAUAAAUGCAACUUUCAUAAUUCUAGAAUAAUGGAAUUUGUGAGACUAAUUCAUGCAAGAUAAAUUGGUUUUUGGUGGGACCCAACAUAUGUGAUUUUCUCAUUGAUUGAUUGAUUGAUUUCUAUGCUUGAUUGGUUUGCCUCACUCUAUGACAUGCAUGCGAUUAUUCUGUAUUUGUGUACUAACCUUGUCUCUUAUGAUAACACUCGGCUUGUGACUAAGGUACGCCUCGUACCCAAUUGUGUUUAUUGAUUUAUUUAUAAUCAUGCAUGUCUUGCUUUCACACAUUUGAUCACUGUUCGGUAUUCAUGCUUAAUCAAUCAAUUGUCAUACUUGCUUCAUCUUAUUAGUAGAGACCCAUUUCUAGGGAUUUAGAGGGGUGCUACGGUCUUUACCAUACCUUCCCGAUAAGUAACCUGACCCCCGAGCCCGGAUUUGGUUUUUUGUAGACCACUUUUUCUAAAUAAAGAGUCACACUUAUGAUUUUUCUUUCUUAUUUUGUUUACCCUUUAAAAAUAAAACAAAAAUAAGUGACGACUCCAAGUCUUUUUCUAACAAUCAAUUUUUCAUCAAAUAAACAAUAAACGGUCAUCGAGUGGGAACGUAUCGUGCAAAAUAUGGGGUCCACAAAAUGACAACUCCGCUAAGGAAUCUCAACAAAGGGUCAAGCUUGAACUUAAGAUGAAGCUUAUAAAUGAAAGUAAUAGAGAUUUCAUAUUCAUAUAUUUUUUAUUUUAUUAGAAAAAAAUCAAAUAUUACUAAAUACACUUUUUAAAUAUUUAAUUCUUAUAUAGUAAAACUCAAAUAUAUAAAAUAAAUUUAAAAUAAUAUAUAAAAAUAAUUUAUUGAUUUUAAAUUCUUAUUUUAUUUUUUAUCACAAUUUUUUUUUUAAUUUCUCUUUUAUCUUUUCCUUUAAAUUCUUAGGAAUCCAACUAUGUAAAUAUAUAUAUAUAUAUAUAUUAAGAAACUUGAUUUUAAAAUGUUUAAUAGAUCACGUGUCAUUCCAUGUUAUUUUCAAUUUUUUUCUUUAAUAUAAAAUCUUCACAAAUAUUUUUGACAGCCACAUGGUCCAAUACCAUUAACAAAUCUUCAUCCCAAAUUAGUUCUUACGUUCAGAAAGUAUAUAAACAAGAAGAUCAAGACCUGAGAUUUUUUGUUCCUUAUCAUGAAAAAGUCUAUAUAUAUAUAUAUAUAAUCAUGAAAAGUCUGCAUCAAUCGCCAUUGUUUCUACAUCAACUUGCCAACCUCUCAACUUGAGCUUGAAAAAUAAGCUCACGCAGGGCUUUGAAAAUUUCUUUGAAGCUUCGUAUUAGCAAGAUUUCUUAAGAGAACCAAGAAAACCUAUUCAAAUAUUUAAUUUUAUAAUAUUUUAUAGCAAAACCAAAUAUAAGAAUUUUUUUUACAUAUAAUUUUACUUUUUCUUUUACUUUCUAGAAUCAGAAAUAACGAUACGUGUGGAAAAAAAAUGAAGAAUUUUGAUUAAAAUUUUUCUUUAAUAUAAGAUUAUGUUUAGUCAUGUGAUUUAAAAAUGUAUUUUUAAAAAAAAUUAUUUUUAAAAAAAUUUAAUACCAUUUUACCAUUCUUCUUUAGAAAUAAUGUUUAAAAACAAAAUAAAAUAGAAAAUAAUUUUUAAAGAAUAAUGAGGAAUUGUUUUUAUCCGUUUUUUAAAAUAAAAGAAAAAUACGGAUCCAUUUAAUUAUGUUUUUCUAAACUUGUUUUUAAAAAUUAUUUUUAAGUUAAAAGAAUAAAAAAUAAUCUUUAAAAGAGAAAACAUUGACAAACCAACAGUAAAAUUUUCACAAGUACGCUUGACAACCACAUGGUCCAAUUCCAUUAAAAAUUGUAGCGGCUUGGUAAGAUGGAUGGACUUCCUAGUUUUGAAAACUAAUCAAUGUAACAAACCUUCAUCCCAAGUAUAUAGACAAGAAGAUCAAAACCUGAGAUUUUUUGUUCCUUAUCCCUGGUCCCUUUAUGAAAAUAUCAUGAGAGAAGUCAGCAUCAAUCGCCAAUAUUGUUUCUUCAUCAACUUGCUAACCUCUUAAACCUGAGAUAGAAAAAUCAGCCCACGCAGGGGCAUUGAAAUUUUCUUUGAAGCUUAAGAUUAACAAGAUUUUUUAGGACAAAGAAAAAAUAUUCAAACGAUAAGGUUGAGUGAGCCACACGACUUGGGGUUGUGAGAAAACUCAUCAAAAUUUUGAAAAUUACACCUAGCCUGACCUUAGCCUAUAAAUAUGUCCAAUCUUCUACAACUAUAGCAUAGAUUAGAAAGAAACGAUGGCAACAGUUUUGAUGGCAGUAGGUGGUGGAGGGGAAGUGGGCAUGAUGGCUUCGAGCUCUGGGGCUCUCUUUUUGCUUUGCAUGGUCGUUAUGUCCCUCUCAAUUCUUUCCAUGGUCAUAUUUGCUUGCGGUGAAUCUUCUAGUACUCCACAUCCCAAGAAAAGACACCAUGGUGGAGGAUUCCACCAUGGUGGAGGAUUCCACCAUGGUGGAGGAGUCCACCAUGGCGGUGGUUGUGGAGGGGGAGGUGGUGGUGGUGGUGGUGGUGGUGGUUGUGGAGGUGGCGGUGGUGGUGGUUGUGGAGGUGGAGGUGGAGGUGGAGGUUGCUGAAGAAAAAGCAAAAUAGUUUUUACUCAAAAUAUCCUACAAAUGUCAUAGAAUGGCCUUUUUCUUAUGAAAUAAACCUCAAAAUUAUUGUCUUCAAUGUUAGAAUCCAUGUGAGCAAGUCCUAGUAGAGGUCGAUGUAUUUGUUGAUAUUUUCUUUGCAUUGAACAUUAUUUAAUAAUAUAUAUAUGAUUGUCUUUAUCUUCUGUUUCCUUUUUAUAAAUAGCAUGAAUGUAAACGAGAUUUCAUCUUUUACAAAGUCCCUUUGACAACCGCAUGGUCCAAUACCAUUAAAAACUGUGGCAGCUUGAUAAGAUGGAUGGACUUCCUAGUUUUGAAAAUGAAUCAAUUUAACAAACCUUCAUCCCCAGUAUAUAGACAAGAGGAUCAAGACCUGAGAUUUUCUGUUCCUUAUCAUGAAAAGUCAGCAUCAACAGCCAUUGUUUCUUCAUAACUUGCCGACCUCUCAAGCUUGAGAUUAAAAAAUCAAAUUUUCUUUAAAGCUUCAGAUUGAGAUUAGCAAGAUGUCUUGAGGACAAAGGAAACUUGAGUGAGCCACACGGCUUGGAGUUGACAAAAAAAAUCAAAAUUUUAAAUAUGUCCCAUCUUCUACAACUGUAGUAGAAAUAAUGGCAAGAGGUUUGAUGGUAGAAGCCUAGAAGGCGGUGGAGGAGAAGUGGGUAUGAUGGCUUCAAACUCCCUUACAGGUUUGCAUGGUGGUUAAAGGUUUGAAAUUUCGGUGUAUGCCUAAUUAAAUUUUACGCGUAUAUAUAUAGAUGUAUCGAUCAAAUAAAAUUGAUUUAAAAUUUAUGAAAGUGUUUAAAAAAAAUAAUACAUAUAUUAAAAUUAUUUUAUAAAUAUAAUUAACAUAAAUAUAAUUAAAUAUAAUAUUUAUCAAAUUAUUAUAAAAAAAAAUUAGCUUUAAUAUUCAUUUAUUUAAAAAUUUUAAAAAUACUUUUAUUAAAAUAUGUUUUAUUACAUUUUAAAUAAAAAAUUAAAAUAUGUUUUAUUACAAUUUAAAUAAAAAAUUAAAUUGAUUUAUAUAAAAUAAUUUAUUUGAAAUUUAAUUUUUAAAAUUUCAUUAUAAAUAUGUCAUGAUAACUUUUCUAUUAACAUUAAUUUAUUUAAAUAAAAAAAAUUAUUAAUAAUUUAUCUUAUCAAAUUAAUAUCAGUUUAUAAAAUAUGAUUAUUUUAUUUUAUUUUUUAUAUUGUAGCAAUUUUUUUAAUAAAAUUAUAUUUUUAAUAUUUUAAAGUAAAAAUACUUAAAAUUAAAUAAAAUUAAAAGGAUAAAUAAAAAAAUUAAGAGUGAAGUGAUAGUAAUUUUUAAAAUAGAAUUAAUGAAAUAAAUAUGAAAAGUAGUUCAAACUAAAAAGAUAAUAUAAAAUAAAAUUUAAAAUAAAUAAUUUAAAAAUCAAAGAACUUGGUAAAUAUUAACAAAAAAAACUGGGGUUUUUUGAAAAGUCUCAAAAAUAAUUGCUAAAAAAUGAACAAUUGUUUUGGGAAAAAACUCUCCACGUGUGUUUUUCGGAAAAAAAUUAGUUUUUUUAGCGAAAUUUCAAUUUUUACUGAAAUAUCGGCUAUAUCGUCAUAUUUCCCCUUUUUUGGCGACAAAUCGUCUGAUCAUUAAUCGAUAAUUGAUUUCACUCUACCACCUCUGAUAUCUAAUUUCAUCGAUAUUUCAAUGAAAUAUCCCGAAAUUUCAAUCCUUAAUCCCUCUCAAUUCUAUCCAUGGUCAUAUUUGUUUGUCGUAGUCAUAGAGGAGGUGUAGGAGGAGGAGGCAGACAUGACGGAUCAUGGAGAUGGAGGAGUUGGUUUUGGAGGUGGAGGCAUUGAUCUUGGAGGUGGAGGCGGUGAUUAUGGAGGGGGAGAUUUGGGAGGUCUAGGCAUUAAUGUUGGAGGUGGAGGCAUCGGUUUUGGAGGUGGUGGCGGUGGUUGUGGAGGGGGAGGGGGUGGUGGUGGCUUUGGAGGUGGGGUUUUCUAUAGCAAAAGGAAAAUAGUUUUUACUCAUAAUGUCCUAUAAAUGUCAUAGCAUGACAUUUUUUAUAAAAUAAACCUUGAAAUUCUUGUGUCAUAGAGAUGAUAAUCUUGUCAAAAAAAAUAUGUAAAAGAAAAAAACUCUCAUAUUCAACUUGAUUCAUUGUUAGUCCAUGUGAGCAAGCCCGGUCGAGGUUGAUGUAUUUGAUGCAUUUGUUGAUAUUUUUUUUGUAUUGAAGCUUAUAAAUAGUAUAUAUCAUCUCUUAUUUUUUGUUUCCUUUUUAUAAAUAAUAUGAAUAUAAUAGAAGUUUUACCUUUUUUUUCCUAAGUUAAAUGUUUUAUACUAGUAAAAAAAACCGAUAAAUGUUCAAUCGGGCACAAAAUGACGAGAGCAAAUUUUAAGCAUUCCUAGAAGUGCUCAUAGACCAUUUAAUUUUUCCUAUUCCAAAAUUUUAGUUGGAUUAAUGUUAUGAUCCAAAUUAGAGAUGUGAUCUUUAAUUGGUUGUAUAUAUAUUUCACAUUACUUAUAAGAUAAGAUUAUCGAUCAUACUUUUAGUCAAGUUCUUCAAGACAAAAAUGGAGUCCUAGCAUUUUACAAACCAUUACUUUGAGUGUAUUAAUAAGAAGGUUUUGUUGAAGUAUAUAAAUUCAUUUUUGCCUCCAUUAAUGAUUAAUUAGUGGAGAACAUUCAUAAUGUUGAAUGAACACUAGCUUCUAAAUAUAUAUGCCAAAGAUCAAGUAUAAGGAGUUGAUUGUAAUUUUAAAAUCCUAGUUGGUUGGGUGUCAAACCACAAAAAAAUGAUUUUAGAUGUAUAGGAAAAACAAAGGUGUUGAAGAUAAGAAGACCCCUUAGACUCCCUUUUUCUCUCAUGGAUGCUCUCAAUUGGAAAACAAGCACAAUUUAAUUAAUUAAUCUAAUACUUCAAUUUAGGAGUUAAACCUUCUUGUGAAAUCCUUAAAGCCCUCACAACCCAUUUGUUUGCUAAAUUAAGAGCUCAAUAAUACAAGCACAAAGUCAAAAUAGCUCUCACAACUACCCUCAAAAGGACCCCUAAACUCCAAUUUUAAAGUAUCAAGACAUGAUAUUCUAAUUAAAAAUGGAGACAUUCAACUUACAAGUUGAAUAAAUCAUUAAUUAUCUAAGAUUUGAUGAUUAUUUCAUGGGCACAAGGGAGGUCUUAAAGACCCCCUUCUGUCCAGCCUAAAGCGCUCCUCAAAAGAUAUGAAAAUGGAAUGAAAAUGAAGACUAAAAAAAAAAAGCACAGGGAAACCAUUAUUAAAAACUAAGAUUAAAGUUCAAUAUUAUAUUAAACUAAAACUUAAAAAUAAGUGCAUCUAAGUAUAAUCAAUGGAAAGAAGCUUGAGAGAUUACAAAACAAUUAAAAGGAGCAAAAACGUGAUAAAAAUUGAAGUUAUAGCAAGUCCCAAGCUUGGAGGGUUGAAAAAGAGCUCCCACCAAGGGGCCUCCUCCAAAAUCCAUUUUUCAACUACAAAAUCUCUUUAAAUAGUACAAUGUGAGUGCAUUGAAAACAAGAUAGGAGAUCUAACGGUGGCUUGGAAAAAGUCCAAAAAUAUGAGUCCCACACAUUCUUGGAGUUCUAGAACAAAUUAACGACAGUGCUACCUUCUAUUUAGCCUAAAGCGCUACUCAAAAGAUAUGAAAAUGGAAUGAAAAUAAAAACCCUAAAAAAAAAAAGAAAAAACACAAUGAAAUCAUUAUUAAAAACUAAGAUUAAAGUUCAAUAUUAUAUUACACCAAAACUUAAAAAUAAGUGCAUCUAAGUAUAAUCAAUGGAAAGAAGCUUGAGAGAUUACAAAACAAUUAAAAGGAGCAAAACAUGAUAAAAAUUGAAGUUAUAGCAAGUCCCAAGCUUGGAGGGUUGAAAAAGAGCUCCCACCAAGGGGCCUCCUCCAAAAUCCAUUUUUCAACUACGAAAUCUCUUUAAAUAAUACCAUGUGAGUGCAUUGAAAACAAGAUAGGAGAUCUAAUGGUGGCUUUGAAAAAGUCCAAAAAUAUGGGUCCCACAUGUUCUUGGAGUUCUAGACCAAAUUAACGACGGUGCUAGAGAAAAUGGCACCAAUUUAUAAAGGGGGGCCAUCUUGGUGAUAUUUUUCUAGUAGGUAGGCUUCUUUAUGGCACAACGGUAGAGAGGAAAUGGUGCUAGGGAAAGCUUUCAACUCCUUUAGUACUUUUCUUAUUUUUCACCAAUAUUUUUUUAUUUUUUCACAAGGGUAAACAAUGUCCAAAUCUUCUAAAAUUUGGUGAAAUUGCUUUUCAAAAAGUCUAAAAUUUAAUAAAAUUCACCUAAACUCAUUUUCUAUUGAUCAAAUUUUGUUAGAUUAUAGAGAAAUCCGGAUUUUGUUAGGUUACUAAAAUGACUAAGGGGGGAAAAAGUAUGAAUGAAUCUAGAAUUUUCUAUUUGAUUUAUGCUUGAGAAUAUAAAAAAAAAUCAAAUAUAAUGAAAAUCAUCUAGAGACUUUGCUCUUUAUACGACAAAAAAAAGACGAAGAAUAAAUUUUAAAAAGUAAGAAAUUUUUUCUUUCAAGUUUAAAUCAAUUUUAGUUUUUCUUCACUUUUUCUCUUCUUAAUUAAUCUUCUUUCCUUUAUUUUCUUUUUUCUAAUAUAUAGUUUUUUUCAAACUUUCCAAAACAAAAUUACUCCUGAAAUGAAAUUUGGAGGGCAUCAAAAUUGAAAAAAUUACACAAGUAUAACAUGAGAUCUUACAUUAGCUUACUAAUGUGCCUACUUUUUUAUAUAUUUUUUAUAUAUGUAAAUAGGUAGGGAAGAAAAUGAUAAAAAUAUUUCUAUUACAUGCACUUGUAAAGAAAAAAGUGAUUGUUUAAGGGGAAAAAUCCUUUAAAAAAAAAAUAGAAAAUACUAAAUAUUUUCUCCCAUUUUAAUUUUAAAAAAACACACUUAGGAGAAGUUUGGAAAAAAAAAUACUUUUUAAAUAAUUUAAUUUAUUUAAAUUUUUCCAUAUAUAAUAUCUUACUUCUCUAUUUUCUUUCCUUUAAACUUUUUAAAAACCAACCAUAACAUAAAGGAUCAUACUUUAUAUUGUCUUAUAAAUACAUGAGAAAGAAUAUUAAUGACUGCAUUAAGUGUUUAUCAACUUUAUGGAAUUAUUGUUAUAUGGAUUAGCUUGAAAGCGUUCAUUUGUAAGCACUUUAGUUUUUCUUGUUGCCAACAAACCCUAAUAUCUAUUUUUAUCCUUAAUUUUUUUUUAUGCCAAAAAGUGGGGGUUUUUUCUAAGGUUUUAAGUCAUUUCACAAUAAGACAAGCGAAAAAUACAUCCAAAGGUAAAAUACUUUUCAUUAAAAAAUUCUUGGUUGUAUAAGAAAAACCGUAAGUCCUAAUUUUUGUUGUUGGCUAGUUAUACUUGGGCUAUAUUUGAAUUCAAGAAAGUAUUAAAAAUAGAAGAAGAAAUGUAGGUAGGAAUUUGAAAACCAUAAAUAAAAUAAAAAAUAAGAAAAUUUAAUUAUAAAUUCAUACUUUUUUUAAUUCUCAUGACUUAAAAUAUUUAUAGAGAUAUUCUUAUUAAUUUUCCUUCGAUAAAAAAACACCUAAUAUUAUAAUUACAUAUAAAUAUAAGAAAUAUUUUAAAUGAUAUUCUUUAAAAAAUGAAUUUAUAUUAAUUAAAAAUUUGACAAUUAAUUUCCCAUAUUUUCUUUCUCUCAAACUUUUCGUAACCAACCAAAUAUAUCCUUAAUAAAUAGCAUGUAUUUAUCAUUUGCAGAAGUUUUCGUUUUUUCUUAGUAAAAAAUACUUACACGAAAAAAAAAAAAAAAAAAGUCUUAUUAAUGCUUGAUCAAAGAAAACAAAAGCCAAAAGUAUAAUUUUGAUUUUUCCUAACAAUUCUCAUAGAUGUAUCAAGUUCGGUUAAUUUUGAAAUUUGUAUUAAUGCUAUAUAAAAAAUUAAAGAUAUAAUCAUUUGAAGUGUAUCAUAUUAAUUAAUUAGAAGAUAAAAUUGUUUCUAAGUAGAGUAAAGGUAGAGUUAUUCACAAUAAUUAUAUAUAGAAAAAAGUGAAGAAGAUUGAUUUUAAAAUAUUUAAGAGAACUUUGUGCCAUUCCAUAUUCUUUUCAAAAUUAUUCUUUAAUAUAAAAUUUUCACAAAUACUUUUGACACCCACAUGGUCUUAAUACCAAAUUCAAGAUUGUAUCAUCUUAAGAUGGAUACACUUCCUAGUUUUGAAAAUUAAUCUAAUUACUUAACAAACUUUCAUUCCAAGUUACUUACUAUUUUCACAAAGUACAAAAAAAAAAAAAACAAAAACAAAAAACAAACCAAGACCUAAGACUUGUGCUUCUUAUGAUCAUGAUGGCUUGAGGUUGAACAAGCUCAUCAAAAUUUAGAAAAUUAGACCAAGCAUGACCUCAUGAUCAAAUGUUGCAAUAUUGGCCAAUAAUUAUGUCCAAUCUUCUACAACUCUAAGCAUAGAUUAGAAAGCAACCAUGGCAAGGGGUUUGAUGGCAGUGGGUGGUGGAGAGGCUGUGUGCAUGGUGGCUUCAAGCUCUAGGGCUCUCUUUUUGCUUUGCUUUGUCGUUAUAUCAUUCCCAAUUACAGCCAUGGUGGUAUUUGCUUGCGGUGAUUGUUCUAAUUCUCAAGACAAAGAAAACACGAAAUGUAGUACUUGGAGGAGCAAGUACUUGUGGAGGUUGCUAAAGAAAAAGCCAAAUAGUUUUUAACUCAUAAUAUCGUAUAAAUGUCAUGGAAUGACCUCCAUAAAAUAAAUGUCAAAAUGAUAAACUUAUAAAAAAUAUUUCAAAAAGAAAAAAAAAAAUCAUAUAUUCAACUUGAUUCAUUGUUAGAGUCUUUGUCAUCAUAUAAUCAAUAGCAUAUAUAUGAUGUCUUAUUUUCCUACUUCCUUUUAUAAGUAACAUGAAUGUAAAAGAAGUUUUUUUUCUUUUCUUUUCUUUUCUUUUCUUCCAAUAAUAAAGAUUAUUUAGAGACAUCCAUGGAAAUUAGAGAAGAUAAAAUAAGAUGAUGAUUCAAAAGAAGGUAUAAAAAUAAUUUAUCAGUUUUAAAUAUUUUUUCUUUUAUUUUCUUCUAAUUUUCAUCUUUAUUUUCUUUAUCUCAUAUAUUUCCAUAAACUUUUUAAAGUCUAAAUCUAAUAGGACGAAUAGUACUAUAUGUACUAGAUAAUCAACUUCAACCAUGAAGUUACAAAAAGGACCCUAUGCUAUUUUUCUAGGUACCAGGCCAUUACCAGCCAACAUGUUGGGCCGGCACGGUCCACUUAAAAAUUAUGUCGGGUCGAGCCAGCCUAUGCAAGCUAAAUAGGUGAUCCGACACGGUCCAUAAGCCAACGGCCCAUGGCCCAUGGGUCACUCACUUUGUUAAAAUUUGUAUUUUAAUUUUUUUAAGUCAUUUUGUCUUAAGUCUUUUUCAUUAUUAAAUGAAAUUUCUUUUUAUUACUCUAAACAUCUCUAAUAAUUAUAUUAUAUAUAUAUAUAUAUACCUCUAAUAAUUAUAAUUUUUUUUAUUUAUAUUUAUCGAAUUUGUAAUUGUAAAAUUUAUAGAAAUGUUAGUUUUUUGUUUUUAAAAAUAGUACAAAAAUUAUAUUUGAAUUUAUUUAUUUUUUAAUCAAAAUAACAAUAAAUUUAAAAUAAUGUAAUAUAAAAGGAAAUUAAGUAUAAAAAAUAAUUCUUUUAUUCAAUAUUUCAACAAAUUACAUAAAAAAAUAAUAAUAAGGAGACGAGUCGGCACGAUGACAGGAAAGACUUUUUCCUUAGGCCCAACAUGACCAACUCCUUUGGGUUGUACCAACCCGGGCCUAUACAAUAAUUGGGUCGUGCUCGCCAGGUCCGGUCUUUUGGUGUGCCAAGACACGAGCCAAAAUGGGCGGCCAGAUCCAUUGAACACCUCUAUUUUCUAAGCCACUAGUUAUAAUAUGAAUAUGUCAAGAUCACCAAGUCUUAUUCAUUGAAGCUUCUAAUAAGGUUCAAAAUAAUAAGGGCCUCUAUCUUGGGGAUUAGAGAAGACCACUCUAAGUGUAAGCUUGAGUAGAAGACUUUCAAUUGUUCAAAAUUGUGAAAACUACAACAACCAUGGCCUCAUUAAAUGUUAAAUUAGUCUAUCGAUGUGACCGAUCUUCUAUGGCUAUAACCAAGGAUUAAAAUUUCAACAAUAUUGUCAAAAAAUGGACCGUCAACAUGAUAUAUGGGAGGAAAGGGUAUUUUGAAUAAGAAAACAAAAAAAAAUAGUAAUUUUAAAAAUUGUUUCUUAAAAUGUGAUAAUUCAAAAAAAAAUUUCAAAAUCUACCAUACUUUAAAGAAAUCUAUAUAUAUAUAUAUGAAAAGAGAUUACAAAGUAAAAUACUUAUAAAUUCAAUUAAAAAGUAAUCACAAUCAUCUUCAAAAUCAAACUUUAUAAUAUCUUAAAGAAAAUUUGAUUAUCAAAUGAUCGAUUUUAUAUUAUAAAUACAUUUCUUAAUUAAAUAAAUAGUUUUUAUUUUAAAAAUAUAUUAAAAAUAAUUAUAUAAAUAUAAAGAAUGAUUAAAAAUAAAAAAACUUCAUAAAAAAUUGUUUUAAAAAUAUUUUUUUAAAAAAAAAACAAGUUAAAAUUAUUUCAAGUUCCAAAAAGACAUUCAUUCUACGGAAGAUUAAAGAAAAGUUUUCAAAAACUAGUUGUUAAAAUUGAUUUUUUAAAACAGUAAUGAAAUAAAUUCGUUAUAUUUUGCUCACCUGCCUCACAUUUCCGGCUUUGCCGCCAAUCUAAGAAAGCUGACUGCCAGAAAUGGUGCCAUCUUCCUUCAGAACCUGGAGUUCCCAUGCACCACUCGUUUGGUCUAUUUCCCCAACCCACCAUGGGAUCUUCAUCUGGCUUUCACCAUGGUUCCGGGUCAGGCCAACCCUUGGAAGCCAUAUAAAAAAUAAAUAGAGAAAAAGAGUACAAAGAAAAAAAAUAAAUAAAAAUCUAAGUUAUUUCAAAUUCAUUAUACAUACUUAUUUUUAAAAAAUUUAUGUAAAAAUUAAGUCAUUUAAAAAUACAUCAAUUUUAAUUAAUUUUAAUUACAUUUUAUUUAAUUUUAUAAUAGUUUAUAGUGAAACCAAAUACGAGAAUAUUUUUAUAUAUAAGUUUUCUUUUUCUUUCUUUAGAUGUACUUUUUAGUAAAAAUGAAAAUAUUGGUAAUUAUAAAUAUAUCGAUACUUCAAUUUUAUGGAUAUAUCGAAAAUAUAUUGGUGGAUAGUUUGAAAAAAAAUAUUAAUAAGAUUAAAAUGGAUCAAAACUCGUGAAAAUAUAAAAACUAAUGUCAUAGAAAUGUAAUUAGAAGUAUAAUAGAUAUUUUAAAUUUCUUUUUUUUUUUAAGAAUUUAAUAUAUGUACUAUACAAUUUAUCAUAUUUGAUAAUAAUAUCAUAUACAUCUUAUAAGUGUAUAUUUAUUAUUAAAUUAUAUCAAAUAUUAUUUGACAAUAAUAUUGUGAUUUUUAAUUAUAAUAUGUCUAAUUUUAAAAUAUAUUUAAUGUUAAAAUUAUGAUCAAUUUAAUUCAAUUAUAUUAUAAAAUAAAUUAUGAAAUAUGUAUAAAAAAAUUUUAAUAUUUAUAUUUUUUAUAUUUAAUUAAUAUAUAAAUUAUAUAAAAAUUAAGAAAAUUAUUAUCAUAAUUUUUAUAUUUUUAGUAAUCAAUUAAAUUAAAUUUAAAAAUAAAAUAAUUAGAAUUAAUUUAUUUAUUAAAAUAUUUUAUUUUUAUCCCUUCUAGUGCAUGGUUAUAUAAUAUAAGGCAAGUUAACCCAAUCCCUACAAGUCAAAAUUUAAAAUUUUUCAUUUGACUGCCAGCCCACCCUGGUGAAAACACCCUUUUAUAGGGUUUUUUUUUUUCUAGGCAAGAAUUAUAUUUUCUUUGGGAAUUUCACCCCUCCCACAUUUCGCCACCCGAUUUUGUCACCGAAAUGUAAUAUUUUAGCGAAAUUUCACCGAAAUUUUUCAAAAUUUUCAUCGUUGCUUUCUAGAACCAAAAGUGAGGAUAUGAGAGGAAAAAAAAAUGAAUUUUUAUUUUAGGGAGAAUGUAUGUUGAGGUUAAUUGGCCUGAUAAUUUUCUAAGGUCUUCUUAACUUAUAAUUGAACUUAAAACUUAAUAAUAAAGUAAAAAUUAAGAUAAAUAAUAUUACAUUUCAAAAAUCCCUAAAAUGCCCUUGAUGGUCAAAUAAAAAGACUAAUUAGUCACCCUCACCUCUUUUAUUCUCUCUUUUAUUCCCUUUCUCUCUCUCUUUUCACCUCACCCUUCUUUCACCUAUUUAUUAGUAGAACCAAGUUGAAUGAUUUUUCAAUCAUUUUUCUCCAAUAAAUUGAAUAUUAGAGAUAAAUGUUUAAAAAUAAUUAUUGUCAAAUACAUUUUUGAAGUAAAUAUUUUUUAAACAUCUAAUUUUUUUUUCAAAUUUACAUAAUAUAUAAUAAAUAUAUUUUAAAUACCAGAGAAAAUAUUUUUCAAAUACCUUGGAUACUUAUAUAAUAUAUAAUAAAUAUUAUCCUCUAUUUUAAACUUAUGUUAUUUGUCAUAUAAAUUAAAUAAUUUUUAAACACCUCAAAAAAUAUUGUUAUUCUUUGUUUGUUUUAACUUACAAAUUAGAUAUCAUAAAAUAUUAUUAUUUUUUUCAAACUUAUAAAAUAUAUAAUCAAUAUUUUUUAAAAUACCUUAGAUUUUUUUUUUCUUACUUACAAAAUAAUAAACAUGUUCUACACGAUUUCUCAUAUAUACUAAACAACUUUUAAACACCUCAUAAAAUAUUAUUACUCUUUUUUUUCUAACUAGCAAAUUAGACACAUUGUAUUUAUUAUUUCUCAUAUUAUUACGAAAAUAAUAUAAACACUCACACUAUUCAAGAUAUUCAAAAUUUGUACAUUCCGAAAGUACCUAAUUACCCCCACACUAAUCCUAAAUAUUUUAAAAUAAAGAUUUAAAUAUUUAAAACCAUUAAAAUAAAUAUAUUCCUAUUAAAGCAAUUUUUUUAAAGUAAUAAAACAAAAAUCAUGAAAUCUUCAAAACUAGAAUUACAACAAAAUAUUUAAAUUUUAAAAUUAAUUCAAUAAUUUAAAUUAAUGAUUUUAAAAAAUAGAAAUGUUACAAAAAUAAUUUUUAGUUAUUUUUAAUUCCAUUUAAAUAUGAUUUUUUAAUCUCUAUUGAUAACGACGAAAUUAUGUUUAUAAAGGAAAAAUAGUAAAAAUAUAUAUUUUAUUUCCUAUAUUAUAAUUUUGGUAGGAAGAUCUUAAUAGCAUAGUUUGGUAAACAAAAAAAAAUAUUGGGGACCUCGCAUUUCGGCUAAAUGCGUUUUCCACUUGAAUGACAAGCUCGAUUUUUAUUUGAAAAAUGAUUUAUUAUUGAUUAAAACAAUGACUUGGAGUCGCCACUUAUUUUUAUUUUAUUUUUAAAAGGGUAAAAAAAUAAGAAAAAAAAACCCUAAGUGUGACUCCUUAUUUUUGAAAAAAGUGGUCUGUGAAAAACUGGAUCGGGUUCGGAGGUCAGGUUACUUAUCGGGAAGGUACGGUAUGAACCGUAACACCCCUCUAAGUCCCUAAAGUAGGGUCUCUAUUGAUAAAAUGAAGCUGACGUGAUAGUCAAUAAGAAGGUCAAUGGAUACUCACGUCAAUCAUGCAUAUAUGAGGAUCAUGAUACGUACAGUGAAUGAUCAGAAUGAGUGAAUGCGUACUUGGGCGGCAAACAGCAACGUGCUUUCAUGAAAUGGGGUUAGUGAAUAAACAUAGAAUGAUCACAUGUAUGUUAAGAAAUAGAGUAAAUCAAUCACGCAUGUCAAAUAAAUAAAUAAAUAAAUCAAUCAAUUAGUCAUAAAAUCUCAUAUGUGGGGUCCUCCCCACCAAAACCCAUUCAUUUUUGCAUGAAUUAAUUCCAUAAACCCCAUUAUUUAGAAUUACAGAAUUGGUACUUGCUUAUUUUAAAACAUUUUGAAAAUAAAAGGAGUCGUGAAAAUUGUUUGCCAGAAGGGAAAAUGGCAACAAAAUUUUAUGGAAAAUGGGAUUUUUGAAACUUAAAGAAACUCUAAGAAUAACAUAUGAGAGAGUUGAAACUAUUUGAAAGCCAAAAUUCGAAAAGUUAUUUACAAAAUGAUGUUUGGGGAAGAUUAUUUUCAAAAUCAAAGAAUAAUGAGCAAUGGCAAAAAGUUAGAUGGGGUAAAGGUGACUAUUCAGUCUAUGCAUAAGUGGAAAAGAUGAAGAAUGAUGACCACGUAGGUGUGAAUCUCAGAGAGUUGUUAUGUUGAGUGUACCAAUAGUUCAUCUUCAACUGAAUUGCGUGUGCUUUCUACACUAACCGGCCAUGCACAUGCUUCACUACCCCAACUAACGCACCCAUCAUGAAGUACACUUGUUUGAGUUCCGUGACUCCCAGAAGCCUAAGGUGGAUUAGCUUUCCAUACUGCACGCUCAUACCCAGAAAUCCUAUAAAUACCGCCAUGACCAAUCCUCAUAUAGCCAUUUCACCCAUCCCACAAGGUUGUAAUAAUCUGGACAGUGUAAGCACAUCAUUCAUAACAUCACAAAGAGGAUCAACUACUGGAUGAACAGUGAAGUCAUUGAGAUGUUCCAUUAUAUAAUCCUCACUUCUUGGAGAUGCACUAGGUUUGCCACUGAGCAGUCUCUUUGUACUCCUACAGGAAUAUGAACGGAAGUACCUUUUUCGAAAUUUGGGUGAAAAUGUGCAUAAAAACUCCAAAAAGGGACUGUAUCUUUCUUCUCCUCUUUCUCAGAACAGUCCUUCUAGUUCUAGCAAAUUCUUUAACGCCAAACUAACUUAGGUUUCCCACAUGAUUUCUGACCGUUUACUUGGAUUUGCAAUGGGAUCUUGCGCCUUGUCCUCAUUUAAACCCACGGCAGAGAACCUAACAAUGAAAGCUGUCUUGAUCAUUAUGAUAGGGAUUCCCAUGCUGAAGCUGAAACUAUUACCAAGUAAACCUUCGGGGUAACUGAUGGCGCGUCUUGAGGCUGAUCGUUGCCUGCAAUUCUGACGGAUUCCAUUGCUGAGAUGAAUGUUCAUUGCUCAUGCCAUACUUGAUUCAAUCAUAAUUAGUGACAAGGAGUUCCAGAUUUCUAUUUGCGCACUUAGGUUUGAUGCGGACAUGAUGCUUCCUUGAUACAAGUGAUUUCUAAAACCGCGGCAGAGAUAUUCCCUUCACAGAGGCUGAGAGUGGGAUUGAGGAUGCAUUGGUGCCAAGCAUCAUGACACCAGAGAAAACCAAACAAGUGGUUGUCCGUGUCUUACAGGCAUGACAGUGUAGAACAAGUGGAAACUGAGGAUUCCUGUUGAAAGGGUUGCACCAACUUUUAAAACAAUAUGAGAUGGGUAAAAAGAUUAAUGAUUUUUCAUGGCUUGCGACAUGAAUCUCUCCACAACUGCUUUCCUUUCCAUUAACUCAUCUGACACUUGAUGAUUUGCAGACCCGCCCUUGCUAAACUACCCACUGCUUCCGCUCCAAAUCAAUGUGUGUUCCCUUGCGUUCUCCACGUGUCAGCCUCGAAUGGAACCCAUUGAUAUCCUAUUUUCAGUCAAACCAAGCUGAAUAACCCCCUUUGUAAUGCUCAGUUCAUCAUAAGGACUUUCCGAAACCUCCUUCAAUUCUCCACUUUGCUAUAUUUCUCAUUACAAUGUCUAUCCCAUCAAUGAAUACAUUCCUUAUAUAAAGUUGUGAUGUAACCGAACUAUCAGGCUUGGGGGCCUCGGACCAGUGGACUUAGAGAUGCCACCUCUGCCACUUUCAGGUCCAAUUUAUUUCGCCUCAUUUCAAUCAGAAGUUUAAAUUUCAUGAUCUCUUACGUGACUUUCUUGUAUCGUGUUCAUCCUAGCUUCAGCCAUCACGGCGAGAGUGCCAAAAUCAGAUUCUUCAACGUGCCAACCAAACAAGAGAAACUUCCAGUUGGCGAUGCAUGAAACAACCCAGAUCUCUUAAUUUUCUUUGACUGUGGGGUCCAAAAAUAACAAGCUUUCCCUGCUUUAGACUUCCGUCGCAUCGACCAACGAGACUAAUUCAUGAGAUGGGCAUGGUAUGAUGAAACAUGGAGAGUGAUGAAUUUGAGUGGUUUUAGGUGGUGCUAUAGAGAGAGUAUGUGAGGGUGAUGAUUUGCAUGGGAUUGGUAACAUAGGGGAGAGAGAAGAGGUGGUGAUGGUGUACGGGUUGGGUAUGAAGGCUUUAAUGGGUGUGAGCAAAUUGACACGGUGAUGAGCGUGUUAGGGGUAUGAGAGAAAGGUGCGGAUUAUGAUUAAUGGAAUGGGCGGUAAAAGCUGAUGAGAGAAGUGAAUUUUCUGGUGGAGUACGCGGCUGAAUUGAAAGAAAUGGGUUGGAAAAUGGGGCGCCUAAGAUAGUCAUGCAUGCACAUGCAUCUGGGGAAAGAUGAUAAGGAGUUGGUAUUUUCUAAAAAAAAAUGGGGCGCCAGUGCUACUGUCACUGGCGCGGAGCAACACACUCCAUGCUUGAUAUGGUUCCUCGCCGAGAUUGAUCUGCUGUUAAUCAAGCUCCCAUGAAGUCCCGCUACCCCAUAUAAUAGAUGUCCAAUUCUCUGGGGGAAGGCAUCCAAUAAUGACCACCCAAAACACUGGACGAGGCACCCAUAAAAUGCAUUGAAGAUUUUCCAUGUUGGCUUAAUGAGGUAAAAGGCCAGUCGAAUACCAAUACUCUCACCUUCAACGAAAUUUUGAAUGAACAUCAUGCUGCUCUCCUUAGUAACUGAUGCACUCAAAAGCUACCAUUGUGCCGAUCUGCUUUCUAAAGAAUGACCAAUGUUUUCUCUGCUUCCUCGGUAUUAUUCACUUGUGACAUUUCUCUGAUUCCUCUUAUUGCUUUAUCAAAGUCUUUGUUUGUAACAUAAUGAUCCAGAGACCUCCCCCAUCGUUCACCCUUGCAUUGAUCAAGCUCUUAUCAAAAGACCAUACGUUAAAUUUAAAUAUCACUUGUAAUCCAAAUGGAUACACAGAACAUUAUUCGGGAGUCCACCUCUUCCCUUAUUGUUUUGAUCCAAACAAACCCCAAACUCGGUGAAGAGAAAACAGUUGGAAACAGGAUGUGUGAUGAUGAGACUCAAAUCAGAGUGAUCCUGAGUGAAAUUCCACCAUUCUUAUGGAAAAGCAUUUUCGAGAAGCUACUAAAACUGCUCUCCUUCUUCACGAGCCCAGAUACUAAAUUGUGGCAACGUCAAAGACAUUAUCUCACUACAUGAGCAGGAGCUCACAAAUGGUGAUAUACGGAUAAAGGCAUUCUACGACCAGAAACACAGGAGUAGAGAAGUACAUAGAAUGAAAUGGCUAAAAAUAGAGCAAAAAUGAGAGACCCGAGUUAUUAGGCAGAGCCUAGUUUCUGGAAUGAUAAGCGAGAUCAAAAUAGGUGGGACACGUGGGAAAACUUCAAUAUGACUAUCAAGCAUCAAACCCAAACCUAAAGAGGGAUCUCACCAUUUACAGAGGGGAAAACAAGAGUAUGAGAGGAGGAUAAAACAGAGCAUAUAGGAGCAGAAAAUCACAUUCAACCAAAGCAAACCUGUGGCCCUUGAACGUCCACAGCAAAUUACAAAUAGAUAUUCGUUAGAUUAGCAGAGAAUGAAGUGGGAUUUUAAGAAAUGAAAACGCACCAGAUUCAAAGUGAUGCUUCUGAUGGCUCCACAGCACAAACUUCUCCUCCUCAGCUUGCAAGCUUUCUCUUAGAAACUCUCUGUGUAGCUUGCUUCCCCAACUAAUCUCGCUUCUCCAGGAAACCCACACCUCCAAAAAUACUUCCUGCUCUAGCUUGAGGACCCUCCCUAAAAUUCUGCCAGCCUCCAGAAAAAUAUCUACUAGUUCUCCCCAACAAUAAUGGAUAUCCCUUACUCUUCCCAAAAUCUCUUCCUCCACUCACUGCAAAUCCCCUGAAGAAGCACCAACCCUCAAAAAAAAAAUUUUCCCCUGAAAACCGCCAAGACCCCUCUGCAGCUUCAGAAUAUCCCCCUCAAUGCAGCUGCCUCACCUCUCUCUAAAAUAUCUCCUAACCGUUUGCAGCUUUUUCUGAUUCUUUUCUUGCCACGUGUCGACCUCUGGUUGGCCAUCAAAAGCACCACUCGGUGCCCUGAAAACCAACCAGAAAUUGACACGUGGCCACCCUAGAUGGCGACACCUGUCAAGAAUCAGCUGCAAGAAUGACUCCCAAAAUGGGGGUCUCCAAAUAUACAUAUUGAUAAUCGUCCUAAUGACAAGCUUAUGUUGUUUACAAAUUGUACAAAACCUAUUAGAAGUCUUAUAUAUCCUUAUACAAUUAUUAUAUUUUAUCUUAUACAGUUAGUGCAACACCCUUAUACAUUGAUGCAAAUUUUAUAUACAUGCAUAAAUAAUGUAUCCACAUAGAUGUGUGAACCCUAUUUCCAAUAGUUUGGUUUAGAAAAGACAGGAAGACUUAAAGAACAAGUUUUUCUCCAAACAUCAUUAGUGAGAUAAAUAUUCGAAUUAUCAUAUACGAGUUAAAUAAAGUGUAUAAGAUAGGUAUGUGAUGAACAAAUAUGCAACAUGAGAGUAUAUAGUUUUUGGGUGAUAAGAAAAAUAAAACAAGAGGUUUAUAAGCGAUUAAAAUUCUAUAUAAAGGGUAGUCUUGUACACCACUUGUACACUUAGUAUAUUUCUCUUGUACAGUUAGUGCAAUACCCUUGGACAAUGACACACAUUUCAAAUCACUCCUAAGUUAUGUCUCUGUAUAGGUGUGUAAACCAUGUUUCCAAUAGUUUGUUUGAGAACUAAGAAAAACAUUACUAAAACUAAAAAAAUAAAAUAUGGAGUUACAAAAUAUGGAUGAUGAAAUUUAAACAUAAGAGUUGAAAUAAUAAUUAGGAAUUUGGGUGGGGAAAUUGUACAAUCUUUGGGUAACAAGAAAAAAUAGGGAGAUUUUUUCAGAAUCAGUUCAAAUCCUUAACAAAUGACAACCUUGUAUACUUGGUAUAUUUUCCUUAUACAGCUAAUAUAAUACCCUUGUAAGUGAUGCAAAUUUCAUAUCUUUCAUAAGUUAUGUGUCUACGUAGGUGUGCUAACCAUGUUUCCAAUAGUUUGUUUGAGAACCAAGAAAAAUAUUACUAAAACUACAAAAAUAAAAUAUGGAGUUACAAAAUAUGGAUGAUGAAAUUUAAACAUAAGAGUUGAAAUAAUAAUUAGGUGAGGGAAUUUGGGUGGGGAAAUUGUACAAUCUUUGGGUAACAAGAAAAAAUAGGGAGAUUUUUUCAGAAUCAAUUCAAAUCCUUAACAAAUGACAACCUUGUAUACUUGGUAUAUUUUCCUUAUACAGCUAAUGUAAUACCCUUGUAAGUGAUGUAAAUUUCAUAUAUUUCAUAAGUUAUGUGUCUACGUAGGUGUGCUAACCAUGUUUCCAAUGGUUUAGUUGAGAACCAAGAAAGAACAUUGCUAAAACUACAAAAACAAAAUAUGGAUAAUUAAAUUUAAAAAUAUGAGUUAAAACAAUUAUUGGGUGCAUGAGAGAAUUUGAGUGGGGAAAUUGCAUAAUCCUUGGGUAACAAGAAAAAAGAUUGAGAGUUUUUCAAAAUCACUUCAAAUCCUUAACAAAUGGCAUUAUUGUAUACGCUUAUAUAGUUAGUACAUCUGUCUUAUACAAUUGAUGCAACAGUCUUGUAUAGUGGUACAAAUUUCAUCUACAUACAUAAAUUAUGUGUCCACAUAGGAUGAGUGAACCAUUUUUUCAAUGAUUUGGUUAAGAAAAUGAUAAAAGACUAAAAAACAAAAUUUUUUCCCACACAACAUUAGUAAGAUAAGUAUUCGAAUUCUCAUAUGUAAGUUAUAUAAAGUGUACAAAAUGAAUGUGUGAUGGAGGAAUGUAUGGCAUGAGAGUGUGUAAUCCUUAAAUGACAAGGAAAAAAAAGUUGUCCAAAAUUGGUUGAAAUCUUUCACAAAUGAUAGCCUUGUACACCUCUUAUACAGUUAAUGUAACACCCUUGUAUAACGAUACAAAUCUCAUCCACAUGCAUAUUUUAUUUGUUUCUUCAUUUAUAUUGUUUGUAUUUCAUGGAAAACCACUUGAAGCAAAUAUGAUGAAAAUUAAUUUGAUGUGUGCAAGUCUGUAAACAAUGUUAGAACUAGUUUGAUAUAUAUUUAUAUAAAAUAAUAAAUAAAUAAUAAGAAAAAUGAAAGAUGAAAUUAGAUAAUAAAUUAUUUAUAAUUUUUUAUUCAAUUUUAAACUUUUUUAGAAAACAAAUAUUUUUAUUAUUGAAUGAGUGUGGACCCCGCAUUUUCACGUGCGUUCCCACUCGACGACAUGACUCGCUUUUUUAUUUGUUUAGUGAAAUUUUUGAUUUUUUAAAAAAGACUUGGAGCCACUACUUAUUUUUAUUUUAUUUUUGAAGGGAAAAAAAAAUAAAAAAGAAAAACCCUAAGUGUGACUCCUGAAGGAAAAAAAAAAUAAGUCUAUGAAAAACCGAGUCUAGGUUCGGGGGUCAAGUUACUUAUUGGGAAGGUACGGUGGUGAGUUGUAGCGUUCCUCUAAGCCCGUAUACAUACGGUCUCUACUAAACUAAUUGAGGGAAUGAUGACAAUUAACUAAUUAAUCAUGGAUACCAAAAUUAAUAACAUAAAUCAAUAUACACAAAAGUGAUAACAAAAUAAAAUGACAAGAAUAUACAAAAUAAAUGACAAUAGAAUUAUGCAAAAUAAAUGACAAUAGAAUUAUGCAAAUUAAUUUAUUGAACUAAUUAAAAAAAUAUUUGAAAAAAAUUAGUUUUCUAAAAAUUUCAAAGGAUUUUAUUAAAAACAAUUUUGGAUGGGUGAUUUCAAUUUAUUUAUUUACAAAACGUUUUCUUCGAGUGAUUUGAUUCGAUUUCAUAUGUAUUCAAUUUUCAAGAAAAGUUAUUUAAACUUAUUGUAUCAAAAGAAUUUAUUACAAAAUUUUAAUUUGGGCACAAAUAUUAUUUUUACUUGUUUUUACUAGAAAAUAAUGAAUUUUUACAAUUUUAUUUACAAAAGUAUUUUGAUUCAUUUUCAUUUAAAAAAAAUAAAAAUUAAAUUCUCUAUUUCUCAAAAUACUUUUAAUCUCAUUUUAAUUAAGGAAAAAAAGAAUUCAUUAAAAAAACAUUUUUUUUGGACAACUUUAUUAAAAAUUAAUUUUUGGGACAACAUUAUUUACAAAUCAAUUUUUGAACAAUUUUUAUUAAACAAAUAAAUUUUCAAUUCUAUACACAGUCAAUAAAUAUAUACAAACGAAUAUUUACAAGAACUAAUAAAAAUAAAACCAAAUAAAAGUAAGAAAUAAAAUAUGUGUCAAAAUAAACUUACAACAAGCUCCACGUGUCAUCAAUUCAUACUCAGCCAACAAGAUUGUAGAGCAGGCCAACAAACUCCCACGUGUCAUCAAUUCGUACUCAACCAACAAGAUUGCAGAGUAAGCCAAUGCAAAAACAAAAAUAACACAAAUAUAAAUAUCUAGAGAUUUGCAAAAUCCCAAACAAAUAUUCAAACCCAAAUUCCAAUUUCAAAUUAGUCCCAUAAAUUUUGUCAAUUACAAUGAGCCCAAAUUGCUAUAGGUCUUAACCCAAAACAUCCAAAUUAAUAACCAAAAAUAUAAACACAAUCAACCAAACCUAAAAUAGGAUAAAUUAAAAUAAAUUCUACUAGGCCUAAAUUUAAUAUACACCACAAUUGUCCCAUAUCCAAAUUAAAUAAUUCAAAUUGGUCAAACUCAUAUCAAAUAUUCAAAUAAUCCAAUAAAUCUCACUCACAUUCUAUGCCCAAAAUUCACAUCAAUUAACAAGACCACAUAAAAAAAAUAUGCAUGGUCAAAGGAAAUAAUAUUUCAAGCCCAAUCUAAUAAGCCUAAACAAAUAACAAAUUAACAAUAGACCAAAAUCUCAAUAAACAAUAUGCAAUUGAUAUGAUCCAAAUAUCCUAAAUUAAUCAUUAAAUGUAAUAUAACCAUAAAACCAAAUUAACAAAUUUCAAAUUAAUCCAUCAACAAUAAAUUAACUCAAAUUUCAUAUUAAUUAACAAAACUCAAACAUAAGCCCACAAACAAACAUAAAUUACACAAACCCAAUUUCAAUAUCAAUUACUAUUAAAAUCAAAACAAGAAUUUUUUUUAAAAAUAAUAAUAAUAAGGGUUUUACGGGAAAGUGAGGAAAUGGGAAAAUGAAAGAAAAUGGGGAGGGGUCACCGACUGGGAGUGGGCUCGUCGGCGGCAACUGGCUGGUGGUUUGUCGGCGGCAUUGAGAGAUAAUAAUAAUAAUAAUAAUAAUAAUAAUAAUAACAAUAAUAAUAAUAAUGAUAAUAAUAAUAAUAAUAAUAAUAAUAAUAAUAAUAAUAAUAAUAAUGAUAAUAAUAAUAAUAAUAAUAAUAAUAAUAAUAAUAAUAAUGAUAAUAAUGAUAAUAAUAAUAAUAAUAAUAAUAAUAAUAAUAAUAAUAAUAAAUCCAAAUAAUAGUGUUUGGAUCAAGAGAAAGUGAGGGAAAAUGAUGGAAAGAAAAAAAUGGGGGCCGGCCAGGAGAAAAAAUGGGAAACCAAAAAAAACGGGGGAGGGGAGUGUUGUGGGAAGAAGAAGAAGAAGAAAGAGAGGAAAAAAAAAUGGGGGGAUGAGCCGCAUAGGAAGAACUGGGCAGAGACUAGGACUAGAGAAAAAAUGAGGGGGCUGAAGUUGAUAGGGGCCCGCGGUGUGGGAAAAAGGGAAAAGUGGGGGGAAAAAUGGGGAGGGGGGACUGGACUAAAGGGAAUUGGGGGUGAAAGAGAGAAGAUUGGGGGAGUGGUAGGGCCCGUGGUGAGGGAUAGGAAAAGAGAGGAGAGAGAAGAGAGAAAAAUAAAAUAAUAAAAAUAAAAUAUAAUAAUAAUAAUAAUAAUAAUAAUAAUAAUAAUAAAAGUAAUGGCAAUAAAAUAAAAUAAAAUAAUAUACAAAAUAAUAAAAGCUAUUAAAUGGUGAGUGAGCCAAAAAAACACAUGUAAUUAGGAUUUGAAAUCUAAGCACAAAAUUGGGCUCGAAAUUAAUGUAAAAAUAAAAUUGGGACAAAUUUUGGGGUCUACAAAUAUACCCCUCUUUGGUAGAGUUCACAAGUAAAGUGAGUGAAUACACAAACGAAACGAAGUGAACUUUGCCGAAUAACAAGAAAGACCUCCAAAUUUGUCCCAAUAUGACAUGGGCUCUCUUAAACCAAAACAAGAACAAAGAGGCUCCAAAACCCUACAAAAAUAAAUGAGAAAAAAAUGACUCUGGGUCGUGAGUUCAAGUUUCUAAAUGGAUAGCUGAUCAAAACGCUUUCCGAUUCGUGGUGUCGGGUCGAGGCCACUCACAGGUGGCUAGAAUGAUGAAAAUGAAAUAUGUGAAUGAUAGGAACGACUCUAGGUCGUGAGCCCAGGGCUCGAAAUGCCAUGAAUGACUCUAGGUCAUGAUGCAACGAGUAACUUAGGGUUACAAUGAAUAGCCCAAGGCUAUGUGAACAACUUAGGGCUAUGAGCUCCAAGCUCUAUGAUUGAUCAGCUAGAAAGAGAAUGCGAAACGCAAACUCCAGGUCAUACCACUCAAGGGCAACCAAAUGAUGAAGGCUCAACUCAGGGCUAGAAAGACUCUGGGUCGUGAGCUCAAGGAUCUAAAUACCAAACUGUGGAGAGAUGGUGAUGAUGGCUUUAAACUCCAAGUUGGAGAUGCGGCUUUGAACGCAAAACUGUGAAGGGCUAGUGACUCUAAACGCCAAGUUGGAGGUGCGGCUCUGAACACCAAACUGAAGAUGAUGAAGGCUCCGAACGCCAUAAUUGAGAACUGACAUAUCUGAAUGUCAAACUGAGAAAGACGACUCUAAACGUCGUAACUGAGAAGCAAUGAUGACUCUGAACGUCGAGCUGUAAGGAGAAGGUGGCUCUGAAUGCCAAAACUGAGAACUGAUGGUGACUCUGAACGCCAAACUAAAAAGAGAUAGUGGCCUUGAACGCCCAAACUGAGAAGAGAUAGUGGCUCUGAACGCCAAACUAUGAACAUAACGACAACCUUGAAUGCCGGAACUAAGAAGCGAUGAUGACAGCUCUGAAAGCCAAACUGGAAAGAGACGACUCUGAACGCCAAACUGGAAAGGGACGACUCUGAACGCCAAACUGGAAAUGAAUGACUCUGAACGUCAUAACUGAGAAUGAUGAUGGCUCUGAAUGCCGAAAAUGAGAAACGAUGAUGGCUCUGAAAGCUGAAAAUGAGAAACGAUGAUGGCUCUGAACGCCAAGACUGAGAACGAUGACGACUCUAAACGCCAAAUUGAAGACGAAAGAUGGCUCUGAACGCCAAACUGAAAGGAGGUGGUGGCCUUGAACGCCAAACUGAAAGGAGGUUGUGGCCUUGAACACCAAACUGGAGAUGGUAGCUCCGAACGUCAAAACUGAGAACUGAGAUCUCUGAGUGUCAAACUAAAAAGGAUAAGCCUGAACGUCAAAACUAAGAAGCGAUGAUGGCUCUGAACACCGAAACUGGAAACAAACCACGGCUCUGAAUGCCAAAUUGAAGAUGUGACGUGAUGACUCUAAAGACUGAACCAAAAACGAACGACCACUCUAAACGCUGAACUGAAAGUGUGACCUGAUGACUUUGAAUGAUGAACUAAAACCAUGGCUCUGAAUGCCAAACUGAAGAUGCGGCUUUGAACGCCAAACUAAACAAUGGCUCUAAAUGCCAAACUAAAAACACGGCUCUAAAUAUCGAACUAAAACAAACAAUGGCUCUAAAUGCCGAAAUGAAGAUGCAACUCUAAACGUCAAACUGAAAGAGAUAUGGUGGAUCUGAAUGCCUAACUAAAGAAAGACAUGAUGACUCUGAACGUAUAUGACGGCUCUAAGCACCGAGCUAUAAAGAGAUGGUGGCUCUGAAUGUUCAAAUUGAGAAGAGAUUAUGGCUCUGAAUGCCAAACUGAAGAACAUGGUUCUAAACGCCAAACCAAAAAAUAAAAGAUAAAUAAAUAAAAAUAAAUAAAUAAAUAAUAAAAUAAUAAAAUAAAUAAAAUAAUAAUAAAUAAAUAAAUAAAUAAAAGGUGGUUGUGAAUGCCAUAACUGAGGAAGGAUGGUGGCUCUAAACAUCAAUCGAAAAAAAAAAAAAACAUGAUGACUCUGAAUGUCGAACUAAAGGCAAACGACGGCUUUGAACGCCAAACUGUGAACGAUGGCUUUGAGCGCUGAAAUUGAAAAGAGAUGGUGACUCUGAGAGUCGAAACUGAGAAGAGAUAGUGACUCUGAACGCCAAACUGUGAACAUGACGACGAUAGCUCUGAACGCCAGAAUUGAGAAAUGAUGAUGACUCUGAACGUCGAAACUGAGAAGCGAUGAUGGCUCUGAACGCCGAAACUGAGAAUGAUGAUGGCUCUAAACAUCGAAACUGAGAAUGAUGGUGGCUCUGAAUGCCAAACUGAGAAACGAUGAUGGCUCUGAACGUCGAACUAUGAAUGAUGAUGGCUCUGGACGUCGAAACUUAGAAGUGAUAGUGGCUCUGAACGCCAAACUGUGAGCAUGACGAUGGCUCUAAACGUCGAAUUGAGACUACAGCUCUGAACACCUAAUGGAAAAUGAACGAUGGCUCUAAACGUCGAAAUGAGACUACGGCUUUGAACUCCGAAACGAGACUACGACUCUUAAUGCCCAAUGGAAAAUGGACGAUGGCUUUGAACGCCGAAAUGAGACUACGGCUCUGAACGCCCAAUGAAAAAUGAACGAUGGCUCUGAACGCCAAAAUGAGACUAACACUAUGAAUGCCAAAGUAAAUAUGCGGCUCUGAACGCAAUGGAAAAUGAACAAUGGCUCUGAAAGCCGAAAUGAGACUACAGCUUUGAACGCCGAACUGAAAAGAGGUGGUGGCUUUGAACGCCAAACAAGAAAUAAACAAUGGCUCUGAACUCCAAAUGAAAAACAAACAAUGGCUCUGAAUGCCAAACUAAAGAUGCGGCUCUGAACGUUGAGAUGACAAUGCGACUCUGAACACCAAACUGAAGGUGUGGCUCUGAACGCCUAACUAAAAUGAACAACGGCUCUGAACGCCAAAUGAAAAAAGAGCAAUGGCUCUGAACGCCAAGUGGGGAAUGAAUCUAGAUGUCGAACAAAAGGCAAACAAUGGCUUUGAACGCCAAAUAGAAGAUGUGACUCCGAACGCCAAACGGAAAAAUGGACAACUACUUUGAACGCCAAACGAGAAAUUGAACGAUGGCUCUGAACGCCAAAAUGAAACUACGGCUCUAAACGCCAAAGUAAACUGGAUAACUAUGAACGUCAAGCUGAGAAUGAUGACUCUAAACGUCGUAACCGAGAAGAUAUGGUGGCUCUGAACGCUAGGUUGGAAAUGGACGACUCUGAACGUCGUAAUUGAGAAUGAAAUGUGGCUCUGAAAGCCAAACUGCAAGGAAAUGAUGAGAGAGGAAAUAUGCCCUAGUGUAGCGUGCUACUACAGCCCUCAGUCCACGGAAAUGGUCUGAAAGAGACUCCAUGAGUCUCAAAGGAUACUCUGUUAGCGAGUCGAAAUGGUCAAAUCGACUAUAAACAUAGUCUCGCAACCCACUUGACUAGAUCACGAUGCCUGACGAGAUGUCACAAUAAGUCGAACUUCUCUAACUCAAAAUACACUACUGAAGGAAAAUGUCGUCAUCUCAAACAAAUGAUCCACUAGAGAGUCUCAAGAGAAUAGUCUGUUGGGGUAACUACCACGAUCUCAUCAAAACAAUCUACUACAGGGUCACGAAUAGUGGGACAAUCACAACUUGAACGUCACGCUCCACUGAAAGCUCAUCUUGAUGAAAAUCAUAGGAAUAGUGAACAAUAGCGCAAAUACAAUAUCUCUCGGCCGAGUGAUGAAAACUGUAACAGAUCUGUGAGAAAACCAUCACCUCUACAACUAGAUGAAGGAAAUAUGCCCUAGUAUGGCAUCAUAUGUAUCCGGUCUAUCUUAAUAACCCAAGAAUAACUCCAUGGGAGGAUAUAUAAAAGAUCUGACAUGUAUCCCACUGAAAUGAUGAUGUGGGAUCCUAUGUGCCUGAGAUGACUCCAUCAAAAAAAUCACAACAAAAUCAGAAAGUGUGAGCUUGACAAAAUGACUCAAGGGAAGGUCCACCGAAGAGUCAUGACAAAAUGAAACCGAAUCACCCACCCGACGUGUAUCUCGCGACUAGGGAUGAUCAUGCAAAUCGCUGGGGAUCUAUAAAUCUCAAUUAAAAGGGGAAUAUGCCCCAGUAUGGCAUCAAAUAUGUGAUAAGUCAGAAAAAAUCGAAUGACAUUAAAGCAUCCAUCAUCAAGUGCGUGACCCUAGUCAUCUACGUCCAUAACAGAAUCAUGCUCACAAAUCCAAGAGGUGUCUCUUGGAAAGAAGCAUGAUGACAUCUGAAUGCUGAACAAUGCAAGCCUGGCCGAAUGGCUCCAGAGAGGCUCCACUGGGGGAUCGUGAUAAAAUAACGAACACGUCCUCGUCUCGGUGUGCAUCCCGUAAGUGGGAGUGAUCAUGUAGCUCCAUGAAGAUCUAUAACUCUCAACUGAAACGGAAAUAUGCCCCAGUAUGGCAUCAGAUAUAUGGUAGGUCGAAAAAUCAGCUAACAUGAAAUCAUCUAUCAUCAAAUGUGUAAUCCCAGUAAUCCAAAUCCGUAAUUGAAUCAGAUUGGGAGUGGGCUUGCCGGCGGUGACUGGCUGGUGGUUUGUCGGUGGCAUUGAGAGAUAAUAAUAAUAAUAAUAAUAAUAAUAAUAAUAAUAAUAAUAAUAAUAAUAAUAAUAAUAAUAAUAAUAAUAAUAAUAAUAGUGUUUGGAUCAAGAGAAAGUGAGGAAAAAUGAUGGAAAAAAAGAAAUGGGGGCCGGCCAGGAGAAAAAAUGGGAAACCAAAAAAAACGGGGGGAGAGUGUUGUGGGAAGAAGAAGAAAUGGAGGAAAAAAAUGGGGGGAUGAGCCGCGUGGGAAGAACUGGGCAGAGACUAGGGCUGGAGAAAAAAAUGAGGGGGUUGAAGUUGAUGGGAGCCUGCAGUGUAGGAAGAAGAGAAAAAUGGGGAGGGGGGGGCGGCCCAAAGGGAAUUGGGGAUGAAAGAGAGAAGAGUGGGGGAGUGGUGGGGCCCGCGAUGAGGGGUAGGAAGAGAGGAGAUAGGAAAAUGGGGGAGAGAGAAGGGGUGGUCGAUGGUGAGGGGUAGAAAGAGAGAGGAGAGAGGAGAGAGAAAAAAAUAGAAUAUAAUAAUAAUAAUAAUAAUAAUAAUAAAAAUAAAAAAUAAAAAUAAAAGUAAUGGUAAUAAAAUAAAGUAAAAUAAUAUACAAAAUAAUAAAAACUAUUAGAUGGUGAAUGGAUAAAAAAAACACAUGUAAUUGGGAUUUGAAAUCUAAGCCUAAAAUUGGGCUCGAAAUUAAUGUAAAAAUAAAAUUGAGACAAAUUUUGGGAUCUACAAUGAGUUUUAUAAUAAAAAUUUUAUUUUAUUUUAUUUUUAAAACACUUCUUUUGAAUUAAAUCCUUGAUACAAUAAAAUUAAAAUUAUAAAAUAUCUAUUUUAAUUUAUUUAUAAAAUUCACAUUUAAUAAAUUUAUUUUAAUAAUUUUAUAACUUUAUUAUUUCAUAUUUAUCCAUUUUAUAAAAUAAAGAUUUUUGCUAUUAAAUAAUUUUAUUAUGAAAUUUAUCUUUUUAAAAUCAAAUUUUUUAUCCUUAGUUCUUUCAUGUAAUAAAUAAAUAUUUUAAAUAAAAAAAUCUAUUUUAAUUUAUUUAUGAGAAUUACACUGAAUCAAAAUGCAUUUUUAAUUUAUUUAUAUUGAAAUUAAUUAUUUUAUUUUUAUGUCUAAUAUAAUUAAAUUAGAAUUCAAAAUAAACUCAACUUCCUUAGUUCAAAAGAAUUAACUUUUUAUUAAAUGAUUGAUGAAAAAACUAAAAAUUAUUAUUUUAUAUUUUAAAAUAAUAUUGAUAUAAAAUAAAAAUGAAGAUGAAAUUUAAUAAUACAUUAUUUUAAUUUAUUAUAAUAGUAUAAAAUAUCAUUACAUAAUCUCCCACUACUAAAUUGUUAUCUUCCGAAAUUCAAUAUAAAUACAAUUUUAUUUAGUUGUUGAUAAAAAAUAAAAAAAAUAAAAAAAAUAAAAAAGCCUCAAACAAGAAAGUAACAGCAAAUUCUUUUUUUUUUUUUUACACUCCACAUUAAAGGUCACAAUUAAAUAUAUAAAUUUAAGGGUCAAAAAUCUAUGUUUGAUGUACCACGUGGGACCAUAAAAUUCUCCUCAUAACAACUCUCCACUUUAUGUGUGAAGUGACCAAACAACUCUAAAGGGUAUUUUGGGCCUCUUUAGAGUUUAUAUCCUUCGUUAUAUGACUUAGAAGGACGAUCAGCCCAUUAUCAGUAAGUCAACCGCCAUUGUUUCUUCAUCGACUUGCCGACCUCUCAAACUUGAGAUUGAAAAAUCAGCUCACACAAGGCCUUGAAAAUUUCUUUGAAGCUUCGGAUUAGCAAGAUUUCUUAAGAGGACAAAGAAAACCUAUUCAAACCAUAAGCUUGAGUGAGCCACACGGCUUUGGAGUUGAGAAAAAUGAUCAAAAUUUUGAAAAUUACACCUAGCCUGACCUUAGCCUAUAAAUAUGUCCAAUCUUCUACAACUAUAGCAAAGAUUAGAAAGAAACGAUGGCAAGAGUUUUGAUGGCAAUAGGUGGUGGAGGGGAAGUGGGCAUGGUGGCUUCGAGCUCUGGGGCUCUCUUUUUGCUUUGCAUGGUCAUUAUGUCCCUCUCAAUUCUAUCCAUGGUCAUAUUUGCUUGCGGUGAAUCUUCUAGUACUCCACAUCCCAAGAAAAGACACCAUGGUGGAGGAGUCGACCAUGGUGGAGGAGUCGUCCACCAUGGUGGCAGUGGUUGUGGAGGGGGAGGUGGUGGCGGUGGUGGUUGUGGAGGUGGCGGUGGCGGUGGAGGUGGAGGUUGCUGAAGAAAAAGCAAAAUAGUUUUUACUCAAAAUAUCCUACAAAUGUCAUAGAAUGGCCUUUUUCUUAUGAAAUAAACCUCAAAAUUCUUGUCUUCAAUGUUAGAAUCCAUGUGAGCAAGUCCUAGUGAAGGUCGAUGUAUUUGUUGAUAUUUUCUUUGUAUUGAAGAUUAUUUAACAAUAUAUAUGAUGUCUUUUAUCUUGAUAUUUUCUUUGUAUUGAAGAUUAUUUAACAAUAUAUAUGAUGUCUUUUAUCUUCUGUUUCCUUUUUAUAAAUAGCAUGAAUGUAAAAGAGAUUUCAUCUUUUACAAAGUCCCUUUGACAACCACAUGGUCCAGUACCGUUAAAAACUGUGGCAGCUUGAUAAGAUGGAUGGACUUCCUAGUUUUGACAAUUAAUCAAUUUAACAAACCUUCAUC